UGUCAUGCACUGGCUUUAUAGUAAGUGGCCAGACAUUAAUUUCAUUAACACAAACGCAUACAUUAAAAAAGUUAUUAUUGAUCCUCUUGAUAUUCAGUGGUUGGUCGGAGAGAUACCCCAACAAAAAGAGGGAUCAUUGUAUGUGCUGCUUUCCUUCUCUUUGCUAAUUUGUUUUACACUAAUAGCUAAAGCUUCCCCAUUUUUUUCUUGCAGUGAUUGCAGUGUAUAUAUUGAGGCUUUUAAAGAAUAUGUCAGCAUUUGAUAGCUGUUGAUUCCAAAGGAUGAACUUAUUGAUAUUUAAUCAACACCUUAGACGCUAUGAAGCUCUCCUUUUGGAUUAUGCUAGAAAGAAGCAAGUGCUUGGUGCAAUCAGUGAAAGUGAGGUUACUGGGAUAUUAGCAAGAAGAAAAGGCGCACGAGCAUUGAAAGAGCAAACAAGAGCCCAGAACAAAAAAUAAUUAAUUAGCUAAUCCUUUAGCAGAAUUGUAGUAAAACUAUUUACUUGUAGCAGAAUUGUAGUAAAACUUCAACUUUCAUUCAUUGGCAUAUUUUGACAUAAGCGUACCAUUAUGAAUAAGACUGAGUUGUUCUAAGUUUUUCCUGAAAGUGAUGUUCAUGUUCUUAUUCAUUCAUUAACAGUGGCAUAUACUUAGCAAGUAUCAUAACUAACCUCAUCGAGGCAAUAGACGAAAGAAUUAUAAAUGACGCUCGCUAGUCACCUAUACACUUCAUAACUCCAACAAGUACAGAACAACAAUAUGAUCAAGUCAUGAAUCACAUAAUAAGACACAUUGGUGCACAUAACAACUUAACGUACUUUGCUCAGUCAACAAUCCAGCAUAUAAAGGGUAUACAAAUAAAUUAGGAAACAACCAAGGAAAUUGCAAUUAAAAAUGAAAUGCAAUAACCAAAUCAAAUAAAUCUAUUGUGGUGCGCAACCCAAUCUAGAUAGAAAUCACGUCACGGCUCUCAGGCCCACAUCAGAAUCUCAUUAUUCGAUCCAAACUAAUACUCAGCUCUCCCAGAGCUCACAUCAACCACAAACUCAUCGGUUUCUCACAAUCUGCGUGUACACCAUCAAGAAGACACAUGAGAGGGUUACCCUAGGGGAAUGGAUCCAUAUCCACACACAGCAUGGACAACUCACGUGCUAUCAGCCCAGCGUGGUCACACGCUCAACAUCAUAAUCUGUCCAUCGUGGUCACAUGCUCAAUAUCACUGAUCCUCCCGGUGUGGUCACAAGCUAUAUCACAAUCCACCUGGCGUGGUCAUAUGCUAUAUCAUAAUAUGCCUGGCAUGGUCAUAGGCUAUAUUACAAUCUGCCCAGUGUGGUCACAGGUUCAUUAUCACAAUCCGCCCGGCGUGACCACAAACACAAUAUCCCAAUCUGCCUGGUGUAGUCACAUACUCAAUAUCACAAUUCGCCUGGCGUGAUCACGGGCUACCCGUCCAAACCAUAUCACACAUAGAGAAGAUAGUCAAGAAUACAUGUACAUGAUCAAGAACAUCAAAUUUCAUACUUCUGGACUGGUAUAAGCGACAUGCUAAGGUGUAUGCAUGUGCAAGUGUGAUAUCAAUAGCUCAAAUCAGGUAAAUACAUCAAAACAUAGCAACUAUCAGGUUCAAUCAAGAGAUUAACCUCUAUGUAACCUUAAACAUGAAUCAAAUAGCUCUCAACAGGGGUACAACUAAGAGAAACAUAACAGUAUGAAGCUUAGAAAUCAAUUCCAGGUAUAUCACACCCUAAGCACUACCCCGCGCUCGCACAUGGUCUUAGCCCCAAAUAUGUGCGCACCCAUAGCACAUAGCUAUCAAAAAUAAUUCUAGUAACUAGUGCCUAAACCAAGUUUAGGUAAGAUACUUACCUCAAACAAGCCAAAUCAAUACUCUAGAAGCGUCAUUCCGCAUGAAUCGAGCUACGAACGACUCGAAACUAGCCAAAAGCAACUCAAAAAUAUCAAAUAAUGCCAAAGGAAUAAAACCCAGACGAUAAAGGUCGAAUCUUUGAUCAAAUACUUAAAGUCAACCCAGGCCCAUACCUUGGAACCCGACAAAACUCACAUAUUCCGAUAAUCCAUUUGAAUACGAGUCCAACCAUACUAAUGUCACUCAAAUCCGACUUUGAAUCGAUGUUCAAAGCCCAAUUAUUCACUUUCGAAAAGAUUUGAUUAAAAAACCCCUUAUAAACGAACAUUUGCCUGGUUAACAAGAACCAAGUUGAUUUUAAUAAAAUUCAUAAAUACCAACUUGAGUAAUUUUGGAGAGAAGUGAUAAAUGAUAAACUGAACAUUUAGAAAUAGUGAAAUACUUAUGCAGUCCUUGUGUGCUUGCUUUGUGCACCGGCACAACAGAAUUCGAAGCUACUCGGCGUACUAGCCCUAUAACAGAGAGUCUUUUUCCGAUUCGGCCGACGACCACCAUAAACCACCACCUUCUUCUUCUUCCGGCUAAUGCUAACACCCCCUCCUUCAGAUUCGACAAUGCCUUCUCUUUUUAAAAUACGACAUUUUCUUCCUUAUCCUUGAUUAAAAUCAAAACAGGAAAAAAUAACAAUUCAAGUAAAGGUAGCAGACAUAGCUCCUUUCUGCCAGUGACCAUUUCCCGUCGAGCAUCUCCUUUCUCUUUCUUAUUUUUUUGGUCAGAUUUUUUUAUUCUGUUUCUCUCCUUUUUGUUGCUGACAUGUAACUUUUUCAUUAGUGUAGUCUGACACUUCAAAAGAGUGUGAGAUUCACGCACUAGUGUUGGUUUCAGGAUUGUUAUAUUUGUGUGCAAUUGGUCCACUUUUGAUGGGUUGAAGUGUUCAAUAGGAACAAGUUUUAGUUGAGGUGUCUAAGUGAAAAUUGGUGCCAAGUUUAAGGGGCUACGUAUGUAUUUGGACAAUGCCAAAAUCAAAGAUGAAUCACGUAAAAUAAUCAAGUCCAAGUCAAAAAAUACUUACCUAAUCCAAAUCGUGAAAAUCCCCUCUAAAAUAGCCAAAAUCCAAGCUCUAUAACUCAAAAUGUGAUAAAAUAAGCUCAAAGUCCGAAAUAAAGUACUUUAUAUAACUGCUUCAGGAUACCCAUCGCGACCGCGGAAAGAGCUUUGCGAUCGCGAAGCACAAAAGUCACAGCUCAAACAUUACCCUCCGCGUUCACGUCAAAUACCUCGUGAAUGUGAUGCACAAAUCAGCCAACACUAUGCGAACGCAGCGUAGACCCUCGCGAGCGUGAAGACAUCAUCACCAGCUCCUAGCUCUUCAUCACGAACGCGUCCCUACUAUUGCGAACGCGUUGCCCAAGCAUCAUAAAGCUUUGCGAAUGCGACCCUCCAGUUGCGAUCGCGAAGAGGAGAACACCCAACUCCAAUCAUACACAAUGCAAUCACAGUUAGUCCCUCGCGAUCAUAAAGUACAUCAACAACACCAGAAAACUAGCAAAACAAUAUGAAGGAAAAUGGUCUGAAACCAACCCGACACUUACCCGAGCCCCUUGGGACCCCGUCCGAACAUAACAAAAAGUCAAGAAAUAUAAUAGGGUCCUACUCAAGGCCUCAAAUCACACAUAACAACGUAAAAACCAUGAAUCUCACCUCAAAUAGAGCUUAAUGAACUAUUUCAAAUUUCCAAAUUCCAAACUUAUGCCGAACACGUCUAAACAACUCGGAAUCACCUCAAGUUUUGAUCACAAGUUCCAAAUAGCAUAAUGAAACUAGUCCAACUCCUAGAACCACGAUCCGAAUCUAAUAACAUCGAGGUCAACUCCUGGUCAAACCUAUGAACUUUUCAAAAUACCAACUUUUGCCAAAUAGAUCCAAAACCUUCUAGAAAUAUCCAAAUGCAAAUUCGGGCAUACACUCAAGUCCAAAAUCACCAUCCAGACCUAACGAAAUCAUAAAAACUCUGAUCCGAGGUCAAAUACAUAAAAUUCAAACUUGGUAACUCUUCCAAUUUAAAGCUUCCUAGUUGAGAAUUAUUCUUCCAAAUCAAUACCGAACCACUAAAAAACAAAAAUAGACGAUACUCACAAGUCAUAAUGCACCAAAUGAAGCUACUCAUGACUUCAAACUACCAAACUGAAUGUAAAUGCUUAAAAUGACCAAUCGGGUCAUUAUAAUAUUAUUAUAUUACAUCUAAUGCAUGGGCACAAUGUGUGGCUUGACUUUUUAUAAAACUUGAAUAUCUUUAUGAAUCACGAUUACAUCAAUGCAUGCCCUCAGUGGCUUGUCUUUGGUGUUCAGGUUGAAAUUGUGUAUUCAUAUCUCUUAUGUUAUGUCUUUGGUUUACUUACAUUAUCUGCCUUAAAUAUUUAGUGCUCCUUUCAUACUGACUCCCCUUUAUUUUUUGCAUUGUGUUCAUGACCACAGGUAUAGAUAGACCCAGUGACAUCCCUCCGUAGUAGGGUGCACUUUUCAUCUGCCAGUUAUCGCACUCUACUUCUCCGAGUAGCUAUAUAAAAGUUGAUAGGCACUAAAGUAUAUGUUUCAGUCAUUUUGGAUAUGGUGAGGCCCUCUCUCGGCCAAGUUGUAUACAAUGGUACUCUUAGAGGCUUGUAGACAAAUGUGCGGUGUGAAUGCAAAUGUUGAUUAUGACUCUAUUGGCAAUAGUUGCACAUAUAUACAAAAUGCUGCAAGUUUCCUCCACAAUCAGUUGUAAGAAUUUUUAAAUUUUGGUAUUAUACUUGGAAGCGUUGUUGGCCCAGAUUUCAUGUUAAAUGGUCUAAGUAUAGAUGUUGGUUUACGCAGGCCCUCGGGCGUCGUGUGUCAGAUGCAACUCUGAUGGUUGGGGUGUGACAAAGUUGGUAUCAGAGCAGGUUUGUUCUAGGGAGUCUGCAAGCCGUUCUAGUAGAGUCUUGUUUAUGUGUAUGUCGUGCACCAUACUUAUACAUAGAAGGCUAUAGGAUAUCUAUGAUAGAUAAGAGAGCUCACUCCACAGGUGAUACGGGAAUGUCUCGAGGUGAUUUUAGACCUUCAAUUCCUUGGCAUCUAUCUUAUCUGGUGACUAGUGCACCAUUACCAUUCCAGGGCCAGCAUCAGAAUUCCCGAGGACAGAGCUCAGAGUAUAGUGGAAAUUCUAGAAGGACGAGGCCCUCGGUGUCGUACUGUGGUUGAUAUGGUAGGAUCCAUUUUGGUCAAUGUCGCCAAGGCUUGGACUUAUGUUAUUCGUGUGGGCAGCCCAUCCAUAUUAUGCGUUUUUGCCUGAUGAAAGGUGGGGGUAGUAUGGCGCAGGCGAUAGGAUAUGUAGCAGCUUCUUCUUUAUUGGUAUUCCCUCCUAAGCAAGGUACGCAUACAUUGAUUGGGAGAGGUAGAGGCAGGAGUGGAGCGUCUAGCUCGGGCGGUCAACAGAAUCGCAUCUAUGCAAUGUCAAGUCAACAUGACCUAGGGUCAACACCGGAAGUAGUUACAAGUAUACUAUCCAUAUUCUCCACUAAUAUGUAUGCCUUGGUAUAGAUUCAUGUUCUAGUUUUUCAUACAUUACUCCAUUUUAUGCUGGUAUUGUUGUUGGUAAAUAAGAUAAAAAAUUGAAUUGUUACGCCAGCCAUUUGAAGUGUCUACGCCCGUUGGUGAGUCAGUGAUAGUUAGGAGGGUAUAUUGCGAUUGUGAUGUGAUGAUUUAUGACAGUCACACCUUAGCUCAUUUAAAUGAAUUAGAAUUGGUAGAAUUUGAUAUUAUUAUGGGAAUGGAUUGGAUGGCUUCUUGUUAUGAUAAUUUGGAUUGUUGGAAGAAAGUUGUCCGCUUUAACAUCCUAGGAAAGCCUAUUAUUGAAUGGAUGGGUGAUGUUGCAGCACCUAAAGGGAAGUUUUUUUCUUACCUUAAGGCCCGAAAGAUGAUUUUGAAAGGAUGCAUCUAUCAUUUGGUGCGAGUGCAGGAUGUAGAGGUAAAGCCUCCAGCCCUUCGGCCGCUACUAGUUAUUAAGACCACUUAGAUUAGAAGAGCAUUUCAAAGAAAUGUUCUAACUUAGAGUAGAAUGGAACAUGGAAGAGAUUCAUUGACAACAGGAAAAAGAUUGGCGCCUAAUUCUAAUACAAUAGGGGUCUAUCAGUGCAAGUCAGCUGAACACCAUGAUUGAUGAGUGGGUAGGUGGGUUAGGUGCACCUCUCGCCUAGUGGGAAGUAAUGAGGCUAGUCUCCCCCUUCCCCCUGAAUGAAGAAGUAGUGGGGUCCCCUUCCCAUGUAUGCGCCUUAUGAAUUUUUUGAUGUAUUUCCUGACGAGCUCCCGGGUGUCCCUCCCGAGAGACAAAUCGAGUUCGCUAUCUACGUGCUUCCUGACACGCAACCGAUAUAUAUCCCUCCGUAGAAGAUGGACCUUGCUGAGUUGAAGGAAUUGAAAGCUCAAUUGAAAAUUCUUCUAGAUAAGGGCUUCAUCUAAUCUAGCACUUACCCGUGGGGUGCCCCAGUGUUAUUCGUUCGUAAGAAAUUUGGUUCGCUGAGAAUGUGUAUUGAUUACCGUCAGUUGAACAAGGUAACCAUUAAGAAUAAAUAUCCACUCCCAAUGAUUGAUGACAUGUUUGAUUAAUUUCAAGGUGCCAAGUAUUUUUCAAACAUCGAUCUCGGAUCUGGGUAUCAUCAGUUAAGAGUUAAGAAAGAAGAUGUCCUGAAGACAGCCUUUCGGACCAGAUAUAGCCAUUACGAGUUCCUUGUUAUGUCCUUUGGCCAAACUAAUGCACCAGCGGCUUUUAUGGAUCUGAUGAAUCGGGUAUUCAAGCUAUUUUUGGAUAUCUUUGUGAUCGUAUUUAUAGAUGAUGUUUUGGUGUAGUCUCAAUCAGAAGUUGAGCACGCAGAGCAUUUGCGAACGCUUUAAUGCAUGCUCCGAGAUCGUAAGUUGGACGCUAAAUUUUCCAAAUGCGAGUUCUGGUUGAACCCAGAGGCUUUUCUUGGGCAUAUUGUAUCGGAUAAGGGCAUUAAGGUCAAUAACCAAAAGAUUGAAGCGAUUAAUAAAUGGCCAAGGCCUACAACUCUUACGGAGGUGCGUAGCUUCUUGGGUUUAACUAGUUACUAUUGAAGGUUUGUAGAAGAUUUCUAUUCUAUUGCUACUCCAUUAACGAAGUUGAUGCAUAAGGCAGCUAAAUUUUAGUGGAACGAUACCUGUGAAUGGAGUUUCCAAGAGUUGAAGACUAGACUAAACUCAGCAUCAGUUUUAGCUCUUCCUGAAGGGUCAGAGAGUUAUGUUAUAUAUUGUGAUGCGUCUAGAGUGGGAUGAGUUAGUGUUCUAAUAGAGCACGAGAGAGUUAUUGCUUAUGAUUCAAGACAAUUAAGGAAAUACGAGCAGAAUUACCCAACUCAUGACCUAGAGUUAGUGGCUGUUAUAUAUGCUCUGAAAAUAUGGCGUCACUAUAUAUAUGGAGUUCAUGUUGACAUAUUUACAGAUAUUAAGAGCUUUCAAUACAUAUUCAAGCAAAACGAAAUGAAUUUGAGACAUCAGAGGUGGCUUGAAUUGUUAAAAGACUACAAUAUUGAUAUAUUAUAUCAUCCUGGCAAGGAGAACGUGGUAGCUGAUGCAUUAAAUCGAAAAUCAAUGGGCAGUCUAUGGAAUAUGGAAAUUGAUAAACUGGAGAUGACUAAAGAUUUGUACAAGUUGGCUAAUUUAAGUGUAUUAUUUGUUGAUACCGGUGAUGGAGGAGCCAUUGUUCGAAAUGUUGCUGACUCCUCAUUAGUGGUAGAAGUAAAGGCACAAAAAUUUGACGAUCUGGCCUUGAUGAGAAUAAGGGAAAGCAUUCCCCAUCAGAAAUAGAAACUGUUUGAAAUGUCCGAGGAUGGAGUCCUUAGAUAUAAGGGCCAGUUAUAUGUGCCUGAUGUCGGGGGACUCCGAAGACAUAUCAUGGAAGAGAUUCACCAAUUUCGAUACUCUAUUAAUCUAGGAUCAACCAAGAUGUAUCAUGAUCUUCGAUAGCUAUACUGGAGGAAUGGCAUGAAGAGAAACAUUGUUGAAUACGUCGCUCGGUGUCAGAAUAUGGAAAUCCCGACCUUGAAAUGGGAGAUAAUAAACAUGGACUUUGUUACUAGAUUACUAUAUUCUCACCGAAAGUUUGAUUCCAUAUUGGUUAUUGUGGAUAGACUCACUAAGUCAGCUCAUUUCCUACCUGUUAAGACCACGUUUUCAGCUGAAGAUUAUGCUAAGUUAUAUAUUAAUGAAAUAGUUCAACUUUAUGGAAUUCUGAAGAUCUUUUCAAGAAUGUUUGGGUAUAAAAAUCAAACUUAGCAUAGCUUUUCAUCCGCAAAUGAACAGCCAAGCCGAGCGCACUAUUCGAACACUCGAGGACUUGCCACGAGCUUGUGUACUAGACUUUAAGGGGAGUUGGGAAGACCAUCUACCACUCAUUGACUUUGCUUACAAUAACGGUUACUAUGUCAGCAUUCGUAUGGCACCAUAUGAAGCUAUAUACGGAUGAAAGUGUAGAUCCCCUACCGGUUGGUUUGAGGUUGGUGAAACAAAAUUAUUGGUUCCAAAUUUAGUACAAUAGGUUGUAGAAAGGUGAGAAUAAUUCAAGGUCGAUUAUUGAUAGCUCAAAGUAGGAAAAAUCCUACUCAGAUAACUAGUGUCAGGAUUUAGAAUUCUCGGUGGGAAACUGGGUAUUCUUGAGGGUUUCAUCUAUGAAAGGUGUGAUGAGGUUUGGAAAUAAAGGCAAACUCAGCCCCCGGUAUAUCGGACCGUAUCAAAUUGUUCAUAGAAUCGGCCAAGUAGCUUAUAACCUUGAGUUGCCCCUAGAAUUGGGAGCAAUGCAUCUGGAAUUUCAUGUGUUCAUGCUUGGUAAAUGCUUGGGUGAUCCAUCUCGUAUUAUUCCCAUUAAAGAUAUCCAAGUCACAGAAGAUCUAUCCUAUGAAGAGAUUCUGGUGGCUAUCCUAGAUCAUCAAGUUCGCAAGUUGCGAACCAAAGAGGUGGCUUCAGUUAAGAUACUUUGGUGGAACAACAAUGUAGAAUAAAUGACAUGGGAGGCUGAAGAGGAUAUGAGAUAUAGAUACCCUCAUUUGUUCCAUACUACAAGAGACCAUGUUGGAACUACUAUAGCAGGAACAACCCGAGAUACUAUGAAAGAUGAUUGGAGAAUUUUGCAAGGGUGACUGCGAUUCAAUAUUCGGGAACGAAUGUUCCGAAGGGGGGGAUGAUGUUACACCCUACACUUUUCUCCACAUAAGAAGUUAAAAAUUAAUGAGGUUUUAGCACAACUAAUUGGCCGGUGACACAUUAUGGGGACAAAGAAGUGAUUACAUUUGAUCAAAUUAUGCCAGCUGCCCCACCGGGCGUAGUGGCCGGUGCGAGGCAACCCGUUUGGAACCUGGGGAAGUAGACUUUCUAGAUUUGAUAUAAAAUGCAAUACAACUUUCUUAUCUUACAUUCUAUAAUAUUACCAGCUUUAGUUUUUUUCAAAAAUGCUCUUAAGCUCUUUUUAAGAACUCUUAACAAUUCACGACCAAUUCAAAGAUGAACCUAGUAGGAUUUAAUGAAAAUAUCUCAUGAUUAUCACUGUAUCACCCACCUUCUUGUUAUACUGAUGUUGGAGACUCCUUGGAGGUGGAGGUAAUCACCGUAGAAUUGUAAGAACCCAGAAAGUGUAGUUAGUCCUUUAACAAGGUAUGUAAUGCAACUGUCUUUCAUUGGCAUGUCUUGAAAUAAGCGUACCCUUAUGAAUAAUCCUUCUGUUAUAAGACUAAGUUGUUCUAAGUUUUUCCUAAAAGUGAUGUUCUUGUUCUUAUUCAUUCUUUACCGAUGUCAUUUUCUUCCAAAAAUAAUUUACUCUGAGUCUAACUAUAAUAUCUCUUGAAAGUAAUCUUGCAUUGCACUUAUGUAUAUAUAUCUAUUUUACUUUACCGAGUUAUGCUAUAGUCGGCCAGGCACGCCACCUAUUGUGCAACCACUAAUCAGUUGGGUAUGAUAUGAGUCAUUACAGAGCCUUUUGUGGCCAGGUACAAUCGAGUCCUCUAUGAGGCCGAGUACAAAAUAAUGUGAUAUGAAAUAUCACUGAGUCCUCUUGAUACUGGGUAUGCUGAGAUCUGUUACAACCAAGAUCUCCUGAGGUUGGGGACGACCAAGUCCUUUUGAGGCCGGGUACAAUUGAGACGUCUUGAGGCCGAGUACGAUGCGAUAAAAUCAUAAUCCUUUACCAAGUCCUCUGUGAGGCCGGGUACGAUAUGAGAUGAUAUACCCAAAGAAUGGCUGAAUAUUAUUAUAUUACAUCUAAUGCAUGGGCCCAAUGAGUGGCUUGACCUUUUAUAAAACUUGCAUAUCUUUAUGAAUCAUGGUUACAUUAGUGCACGCCUUCAGUGGCUUGUCUUUAGUGUUCAGGAUCAAAUUGUGUAUUCAUAUCUCUUAUGUUAUGUAUUUGAUUUACCUACAUUAUUCGCCUAACAUAUUCAGUACACCUUUUGUACAGACGCCCUUUUUUUCUAGGUGUUGUGUUCCUACCCACGGGUAUAGAUAGACCAGGUGACGUCCCUCCCCAGUAGGUUGCACGUUUCAGCUGUCGGUUAUCACACUCGACUUCUCAGGAGUAGUUGUACACAAGUCGAUAUGUACUGAAGUAUAUAUUUCAGCCAUUUUGGGUACGGUGGGGCCGUGUCCCGACCAAGUUGUAUACUAUGGUAUUUUUAGAGGCUUGCAGACUAGUAUCCAGUAUGUAUAUAAAUGUUUGUUAUGACUCUAUUUGUACCAAUUGCACAUAUAUAUAAAAUGUUGCAAGUUUCCUCCACAAUCAGUUGUAAGAAUUUUCAAAUUUUGGUAUUAUACUUGGAGGCCUUGUUGGCACAGAUUUCAUGUUAAAAGGUCAAAGUAUAGAUGUUGGUUGGCACGGGCCCUCGGGUGUCGUGUGUCGGUCGCAUCUCCAGAGGUUGGGGUAUGAUAAAUAAGUCCCCUCAUGUACGCUAAUAGCUUAACCACUGGGAGCUCUCUUGAAUCUUUAUUUACUGCAUUCAAGGACUCUGCAAUAUUUGAUGUCAUCGUCCAUGUUUUAUUUGAUGUCGCAUGUACCCGAGACCAUUUGUGAUAACCAAUAUUGUAAAGGUAUUCUUUUACCCAUGUGUCGAUCUCUUUAAUCUUUGACAUGUGUUCAUUAAACUCAUCAAUAGUGUAUGAUCGUGUCGUGGCAAAGUAUAAUUCACUUAACUUUAGAUGACCUUUGUUGAACUUUGACCUUAUAUUUGUCCAAAUAUGCCACAUGCAAGCAUAAUGUGGGAUGCUAAAAAUAAUAGUUGGUGUUGCCUUCAAUAUACUCUCAUUUAUGUCUGAAACAACACACAUAUUUGGUUUUUUGACCAUAUGUAUGUUAACUUCUCAAAAAGCCAUGUCCACGAUGCGUCAUUUUUUGAAUCAACUAUGGUGUAAGCACGUGGUAAUAUACUACCUAUCAUUGUAACGACGCUACCGGUCGUUAUGAGCUUCAAGGUUCCGUUUAGUGGUUCGAGGUAGAGUAGCUUCCUAUUGUAUAUUAUGACUUGCGUACAUGCUCGGAUUUGAUUUUUAUAUGAUUCGAAAUGAAUUUGGAUGAGUGGUUCUCACUUUAGAAGCUUAAGUUGAAAAUAUUGACCGAGGUUUGACUUUUGUGAAAAUGACCCCGGAAUGGUGUUUUCAUGGAUCCGAUAGGUGUGUAUCAUGAUUUUGGACUAGGCGUAUGCCCGAAAUAAAUUUCGGAAGUGCUUAGGUUGAUUUGUGUUGUUUCGCCGAAAGUUGGCAAUUUAAAGGUUUAGGAUUUUGAUAAGUUUGACCGUAGGUUGACUUCGUAGCUAUCAUUUUUGGAUUUCUAUUUCGGGACUUGUAAUAAGUCCGUUUUGUCAUUCAGAACUUGUCCGCAAAGUUUGGUGUUUUUCCUAGUUGAUUUGAUACUAAUCGGACGCGCGGUUGUAUUUUUAGAAGUUCUUGGGUUUCAUGUUGAAUUCAUGUGUUUUGAGGUCCGAUUCAUGGUUUCGGAUGUUAUUUUGAUGAUUUGAUCGCACGAGCAAGUUUGUGUUAUAUUUUUAGACUUGUGUUGAUGUUUAGUUUGGCCGCUGUGCUCUUCAUAGGAGGUUCAUAUUUUUGCUAGUGCUCAGAUCUCGCAUUUACGAGAAAAAUGUCGCAUUUGUGAUCUUUAUCAUCGCCUUUGCGAAGAGCACAGUGGCCUGAAGAGUUCGCAUUCGCGAACUCCCAAUCGCAUUUGUGAUGCUGGCCUGGGCUGGGCAUUGGUCACAUUUGCGAUCACUGUGAUCGCUUUUGCGAAUUGUCCAUGUUCGCAUUUGCGAAUAAAUCAUCGCAUUUGCGAUGACAUUAGGGAUGUGAGAUUCCUCUCAUUUGCGGGGUUCGCAUUUGCCAAACCCAAGUCGCAAUUACGACACCUACGAUUGGACAAAAGGCUGAGGGACGAGAUAUUUGGUUUCAUUUUCAUAUUUUGGAACCCUAGACUCCGUAGGAGGCAAUUUUGAAAAGAGAUUUUUAUCAACAAAAUUUGGGUAAGUGAUUCCAAUCUGUAUCAAAUCAUAUUCCAUCAAUAUAUCUUAGAUUAUAACAUCAAAAUCAUGUGAAUCAAAUUGAAAAUUUGUAAACUUUGUCAAGUUUUUGAAAAAUAAAAAUUUGAGUUUUGAGAGUCGAUUUGGACUCAGAUUUUGAAACUAACCACAUAUAUGAACUCGUAGGAUCAUGGGUAGUCAGAAUGAACCAUUGGACCCGGGUUUUGACCGUGCGGGUCCCGAGUUUACUUUUGUUGACAUUUGAGCAAUUGUGGAAAGAUCGUAGCUUUAAUUAUUGGAAUUAAUUUCUCUUGCAUUAUUUGAUGUUAUUAAGUCGAUUUUGGUUAGAUUUGUGCCGAGCGGAGGUGAAUUGUAAAGGAAAAGUUAUUUUUGAGGAUUAAUUGAGGGCGUUUUAGGUAAGUAUCUUGCCUAACGUUGUGUGGGGGAACUACGCUGUAGGGAUUGGUUUGUUUGGACUAUUUGAACUACGUGAAAGACGUAUACACGAGGUGACGAGUGUGUGGACAACUUAUAUAUGGAAAUUUGACUGGCUUAGACUUUUAGGUUCUUAUGUACAUUAGAAUGAAGUUGUCUUAUCAUGUUAAAUCUUCUAUUGCUAAAUUUACCCUUACGUGUUUUAUUUGAAGUUAAUUGAUUCAUGUCCUACCCUUGUUGCCAAAUAUACUCUUAUAUACCCCAAUUGAAGUUGUUGCCUCUUCUAUUGCCAUGUUAUCUCUUUCAUAAUUGAUUAACCUUAAUUGAAGUUAUUUUUAUCCCUUCCAUUGUUGACUUAUCUAUAUUUGAAAUCAUUGUGUUACACCCCAUGUUUUCAUAUGCAAAAGUACGUCGUAAGUCAAUUGAUGUAAGCUCGGAAAUGAGAUCAUCUUUGAAAACUUUAUAAAGUAAGUUAAUCAUGUUACUGUGAAGAUUACAAAUAUUUAAGACCACGAAUGCCAAGUACCAAGAGGGUUGGAAGGAUUAGAAGCUAAACGAAUUGAAGAAAAUAAGUUUCGCCGAAAAUUGACAAGUUGGGAAUGUUAUAACAUGUACUUUUGGGGUGAAACUAUGGUGCUUAACAUUAUAAGGAGGUUAUGUUAUGAUUUAUUUUAGUUUUAUGAUAUUCGUGUGUUAUUUUUUGAAGUCAAGUGAGUUGUGGAACAAAAGUUGGCAAAGGUCAUCACAAGUUACAUUCAUAAAUGUGUUGAACAUUAGGUCAAAUGUAGCUGAGCUUUUCUCCCAAUAUACUUGGAAUUAUAAGGUGAUCUAUCUACCAAAUCGAAGCUCUACGAGUGUAGUUUCUAACGCAUUAAACCAUUUGUCGCUACAACAUUGGAGUAGAGAGAUAUUUGUAUUAUUCCGAGACUGCACAAGCAGCACCCAAUGGGACCCACUUAGGCGGUGGUCGACCUACUUCACUUUAAAAACGAUUUGGACGACCUUUAUUUUUCAUUUUACGACCCAACCUCGUCCUUACACUCCUCCUAACCCUCCUAAGCAAAUACCAUAGGGGUUUGAAGUGCUUCCAAUGUGAUUACACCAUAUUUCAACAACAAAAGUUAGUUCUAGUGAAGAACAACACCUCUUUGAGGUUGUGUUGUCAUUGAGGAUAAUUGUGGGCUGUGUUUGUCAGAAAUUUUAAGUUGUUGCUACUGUCUAAGGUGAGUAUAACAGCCUACUAAUUGUGCUUAAGCUUUCUUAUAUGUUGGUUAAGUUGUUAGGAUGAUAAACUAUAAGAUAAUACUUGGAUUAGCUUGAGAUGUUGUUGUUCUUGAUGGAUUGAUUUGAAAGUUGCUCUUAUGAACUUUAAGUGGCUGGAAAUUAUGGAAACUAAGUUGACUAUGAUAUUUUUAGUAUGAUUAUUUUGGUUUACAUGUCAAUCGUGUUGAGGAAAUUGGUAACUAUAAAAGGAAAUGGCUAUAAAGCACUUGGAAGUUGUCGACAGUGAUAUUAUCUUGUGUUGGGCUAUUUCGGGUAACUUUAAAAUUGAGUACAAGGUUGGAAAUCUAUUUAAAGGUAUUUGUUAUUAUAUUGUAUAUAUUACUAAGUUUGUGAAUGAAUGAUAAUGGGGUUUAAGGGUGCUAAAGUGAUUCAAUCCGAGAAUGUCGCUCGUCGUGAUAUGUUGAUGACUUGUUAAUGAAAUAUUUUAUACCCUAUUGUUGAUGUUGUUCUUAUUGAAUUGAUCUGGUUGUUGUUGUUGGAUAUGGUAUUGGAGUAGUCCCUAGUUACAGGGGAUAUGCUUCCCAAAUUUAUAUAAAUGAGCAACUAGUUUAAGUUGCGAACUUAGCCUUUACUCAAUACUGAUUUUGAAUCUCCUUAUGCUAUGGUAGAUUGAGUUGAGUUGUUUGAAGAAUCACUUGGAAGGUAUUAAGGACUCCUUCAUUUUGGCAUGAUCUCAUAACUACAUGCAUUUGAUAACGAGACAUAAAGAGCAGUUAGUACUCCUGAAUUUAUGNNNNNNNNNNNNNNNNNNNNNNNNNACAGUAUUUUCACCACCAUCGAGCUAUAAUCGGUGGGCAGGCCCCUAUUGGCAACCUCUGAUUAGAUGGUAAGUUAUAUACCGAUCCUACUGUGGCCUAGCGCCUAUGAUAGAGCCCAAAAUGGCCGAGAUAUAGAGCCUAGUAUGGCCGAGCACCUAUGAGCGAGCCUACUACGGCAGAGCAGUUAUAUGUACAGAGCCUUAUAGAGCCAAAUAGCUAUUUUACUUACUAUAUUGAGAGAGUUGAGUCAGUAUCAGCAUGUAAGCAUAUCUUCAGAUUAUCUUUGACUCCUAGUUACUUUCAGUUGUUAUAUUAUCAGUUUAGUCUCAGCUUUCAGUUAUUCUAUUGUCUAACAUACCUAGUACAUGACGUCCCUUUUGUCGGGGACACUGCAUUUCAUGCCUUCAUGUACUGAUAGACAGUUGGAUAGACCUUCCCAGUAGACAGAGUCAAAUAUCAGCUUGGUUGGUAAGCUCCAGUUUCUCAGAGUUACCAGGUCUAGACCUUGGAGUCCAUUAUAUAUAUAUAUAGGUUUGAUGGGUAGGUCGAGGCCCUGUCCUGACCAUAAUACGGUUCAGUUAUCUCUAGAGGCUUGUAGACGAGUCCUGUGCAUUUUGUAUAUCGGUAUUGUGGCCUUGCCAGCACUAAGUAGAAUUUCUAUUUGGUAUUGCUGUUUGUAGACUUUAUUUUCAGAUGAUUCAGAAUAUGUCCUCAUCGGCCUUGACUUGGAUGGUCAGCUUGCAGGUAGGACUCACUGACCUAAGUUGAGGGCUACCCCUCCAGAGUUCAUAGUUACAGAGUAGUACGUUCGGCCGAGUAUGGCACCAGGUGCCGGCCACGCCCCCUCCCCCCCCCCCAAGUUUGGGGCGUGACAAACUUGGUAUCGAAGCAGCUUUAUCCUAAGGAACCUACAAGACGUGUCUAGUAGAGCCUUGUUUAUAGAUGUUUUGUGCACCACAUUAUAUAAACAUGAAGCUACAAGGCAUUUAGGAGUAUGUUACCUUUCUUUCAAAUCUAAAUCGUGUUAUAGAGCUAAGUCAUAAGAGUUUGAGCAAGAACUUAUGUUUGCUAAUGAUACAGAGAUAUUUGCAAUUAGAGAGAUUUAGACCUAUCCAGAGGGCUAAUACAACAACAGGUAAGGGCACUAAUAGAGAGAGAGUUCUUGAUGACGUUUCCUAGUUUGAGGCCCUAUCAAAUCGUGCAUAUCAGAUGUGCAAAUUUCCUGCUUAAGACCAUAAGACGGGAAUAUCUAACAUACCCCAUGAAUAGCAGGCCAUGGGGAGUAUCAUAAGGUAAAAUUAUAAGUAUUAACAAGUAAAAUAAGCAAGGUGAAGAAGGGUAUAAGGUACCCAAUUAGUGAGGAUUAUCUGUAUUUACAAUUCAGGCAAAUAAAUAUAAGCAUUCUGAGUUAGCUUCAAUAGUAACAGAGGUAUGUAAAAUUGGCCAUACCCAUCUCAGUUAUACUCUAUGGGAGCUAACAGAUAUAGUUUAAGAGAAGGAUGGGAUAUCAAGAUCCAGCUGGGGUUAGAGUAACCCAAAAUGGUGGUACACUCUAGAAUAGUAUAGUUAGAUAUGAAUACUAGAAUGUUCACAAAUUUCAGAAGAAAGGCAGUGGAAUCCUAGAAGGGAUAAAUAUUUACCUUAGUAUGGCUCACGUCCCUAGUAAAGAGAGAAUGUUAGGCGACCAGAGGAGCCAAGCCAGUGGAUGGAGAAAGGGGAGCAAAAAGUGAUAUUAUGUUUUGUUGAAGUUUCCAGAAUAAGGUAAUAAACAGAAACGUUAGCAGGAGAAUAAGAAAAGAGUAAAUGAAUCACUAUAUGUAAGAUGUGAUAAAAGGUUAAUAACGGUAAAUCAAAAUAUGACAGGAUGACAGAGUCUAUAGUCAAGUGAAGGAAAAGACAAGAGGUGAUAGGCCUUGAGACAAUAAAACAGCAUAAGCCAUAAAUUCAUACCUUCAUUUCAAGAAAUGAGUUGGUGAAUCCAACGUGAUUACCAGAAAGCUAAGUUAGACCUCCCCCCCCCCCCCCCCGAGUAAUAGAAAUCAGUAUGGGCUAGUGAACAAGAUAGAUUGAACAUGAAUUAGGGAUCGGAAGAUUUGAUAAUAGUCGACAGAGUGAGAAUUUCAGAAAUUGUGUUCCUGCAAUAAUAGAAUGGACAAAACAAGAAUAACCUUCAAUGGUCAUUCAGGAAGACGCUUCCCUAAAGCAAGCAUUGUGAACAGAGUUAAAAUUAAGGGACUAAGUGUGCUAGUUACACUAGGUGUCCCCCUCAUGCGUAAGAAAUUCAGUUAUCCUUAGUACGUAAGGGUUACCGCAAGGCGAGUAAAGACCAUCGAAGAUGUGAAAAGACGCCGAAGAUGAAGAGGUAAAACAUCUACCGGUAAAACUUCAUAGCAUUAAAUUUAGUACUUCCCUAAAAGGGGUAAGAUGGUAUGAUAUGGUAUUAAUUCGGAGUUAAGUGAUUUAGGUAAAUAUAAAAUGGUAAAGGAAGAAUACAGUAAAAAGGCGAAAGGAAUGAGAUUGCAUUUAAUCAGAUCCUAGAGAUGUGUCACGACUCUAGAACAUUAUGCAAGAACGAUGCCGGGGAAAGGCAGUAAGGGUUCCCGCAUAGGAUUUUAGUAAGAAAUAAGAGCGAGUGAACACUUGAUACAUAAGGAGCUAGUGUAAUAGGUAAGUUAAGACAAAGGAAAUAACCCAAGAGAGAUUACGCGAAAUAUAGAUAUGAGAAUGGACCAACGAGUAGUUAGUAGUUGAUUCCGGAAGAGUCUAGUUAUGGCCAAACGAGAGGUUACAGAUAAAUCAACAUAUCAUGCAAGAUAAACGUAAUGAACCCCAACAAAGGGAAAUCAGUCUCGCAGAUAUGACAUCGUAAUCCUUGAGAAAUAUUCAAAUAAGAGUUAGGGUAGUUAAUGGUACUGUAUAAGUGUUACGGAUAUAAAAAGAGAGUUCCAUUGGGGAUACAAUCAAACUUUGAGUUCGGAGGUAACCCUAAGAGCACAAGGGCACUGAGGUAAGUAACUAAGAAUAUUUAUAGGAGAGUAAGAACAUCAAAGAUUAUAUCGGGUAUAUGAUGUAAUAAGCUCGUAGCUUUACAAGAGUUAGAGGGUCUUCCCUAAAUAUAACAACAAAAGACUAGUAGAGGAAAUAAGGAAGAAUGUUUCAUCCUAAACAUAGUAACUAGAAAAAGAAAUAAUCUUGUAACAAUAGUCUCACUACAACAUUGUAUGCACGCUAUAAGAAAGGGGCACCUAUCGUGGCUAAUGAACGGGAAGUAAAAAAAAUCAAAAACAAAAUCAAAAGUAAUAUUCGAGAUUAUAUGAGUUGCAAAAAAUUCCAAUAUGUGUGGGCACUAAGUUAAGCCAAGUAUUCAUGCAACAAGUGGCCGAACGACCAAGAAAAGUAAUUGCUUACAUUUAAAGGCAAAUGAGAAGGCAUGAAGGGAAUUACUUGACCUAUGACCAUGAAUUAGUUAUGUUAUGAACCCACUUAAGAUUUCUGAGUAUUAUCCAUGUAGCAUAUAUGUUGACAUUCAUACAGCCGUAGAAGACUCUGGUAUAAGUUAAAAGAAAGAAUUGAGUCCAGGUCACAAACAAAGACUUGAAUUGUUAGAAGAUUAUGUCAUGGAUAUUCCAUAGCGUCCAUGAAUGGCUAAAGUAAUAACUAAUAUAAUGAGCCGCAUAUCGGAAGAUAGCUUAAGCCUACAUAAAGGUCGAGAGAGAAGAGGAAACUAAUGAGUUACAUCAGUUAAGUAAAUCAAGAAUCUAAUUAUUAGACAAAGAUAAUUAUAGAAAUCAUGAUUGAGAACAUUGCAGAAUCUCUAUUAAUAUCAGAGGUACAAGAGAGAUAGUACAACAACCAUAUUCUAUAAUGGCUCUAUGAUAAAGCCAGUUAAAAGAGUACCAACCUCAUAAGAAGUCAGUAUGAAGCUCCCAACAGGUUGUGUAUGCACUAGAGGUGCAUGCAUUAUAGUAGAUUAAGGUGUGGAUGUGAAUUCCACCCAUGUUAAAGGGAGGUUAUGAAAGUGACAGAAGAUACAAUGCAAGAUUUAAAGGUAAGAAAGGUAAAGGUAAAGAAGGUAUGAGAUACUCAAGUGCAGAAGGUUGUGAAUAGUCCAAACUUCAGAUAGAGGUCUAGAAGCGUCGUGAUUCAGUAUCCAAAAAUGAUAGUGGUGUCGUCAGUAGCAUAUCUUCCAUCCUAUGGUUUCCAGGUACCUAGAGGUCAAGUUAAGAGAGUAAAGAAGAGUUAGAGACAACAUGAUGUCUCGCUUGAGGUUCCAGAAUAACAUAAGGAAAUCUAUGGUGCUAGGUAGUUAAAGGAAGGUUGUGAGUAGUAUAGAUAGAUAUGUGUAGGUCACAAGCUAAAGCAUUAUAGAGCAACAAGGUUUUAUGUAGACAUGAGUAAGGAUAAGAAAAUUUGAAUGAGAAGGUGACAAGAAUAGGUAAGGCCUCGGGAUUAAGCCCAUCAAAUUAAGAGAGUUGAUGGUUUUCGUAAGUUAUAGAAAGCUUUGUAUAGCUUGAAUGAACUCGGAGGAGUAUAAGACUAGGAGCAUUUAGAAGAGAUAGAAUGCUGCCCUAGUAGUAGAAUAAGGAUGUAACUGUGAUAAAUGAUAAGGGGAUGACAUUUAGGCCUUCGAUUGAGUAAUGAUUCAAAGAUAAGGGAUUUCAUGAAUUACAUGGUAUUAGAAUAUCCCCAUAAGAUGAAUCACAUUGGGAUGCUAUGAAAUAUGGUUAUUGAAGAAUAGUAUCGUCCCUUGGUGGAUCAGGAAAAUAACUUUAGAUGUUCCCCGAUGAGACAUGAGCCCUAGUGACAAUGUAUUACAUACGAGGUUUCAAGUUAUCAGUGGUAGAUUAUAGAUCAACAUUAAGGAUAAUCAACAAUAGAUGGAUAAAAGUUCCAACGUAUGAUAUGAGAUUAGGCUGUCUUCUUAAGAUGAAAAGUAAUGAGAAAGCAUUAAGGGACUUAGAUUUAUACAUAUAGGAUAAGCAGCGAGAGAGUAACCUGGAGUUAGGUAGCAGACCUUGGUAAUAAUAAAACGAAGUAAGUGUUAUGGUACAGUAUAAGCUACCUAGAUAUAGUAAAGCCAUAAGCAUAGCUAACCGAGUCUAUGAGACAAGAUAUAGCAAUAGUCAUAAGUUCGAUAGGUACCGAGCGAAGAACUUCAGUACACCUAUGGAUGCCUAGAGGGACAUCUUGUCAUAGUUCUGUAUAUGUUCACAAAGUGAGGCCUAAAGAUUGGCUAAAAGCUAGAGGACAUAGGAGAAAAGGGGUCACAUAUACGCACAUAUAAGGACAGAGUCGUACAAGCUGCAUGACAUAAGGUAGCAACAGUUACGAGAUUGGAAGAAUUCUGACCACAAGUCGUGGUGUGAGAGAGAGGCAUAAAGGGGGGAAUUCCCUGGCCUUUGGAUUUAUUCACAGAACGGUUGCAUAGAUGGAAAAGAUAGCGGUAAAGUAUUUGUAAGAGCUAUAUGUUAUAAGACUGAUAAUCGCACCAGUCAACAUUCGAAGACGAAUGUUCCAAAGGGGAGAAUGAUGUUACACACUGUGUUUUCGUAUGUAAGAGUACGUCGUAAGUCAAUUGAUGUAAGCUCAAAAAUGAGAUCAUCUUUAAAAAGUUUAUAAAGUAAGUUAAUCAUUUUACCGUGGAGAUUACAAAUAUUUAAGACCACGAAUACCAAGUACCAAGAGGGUUGGAAGGCUUAGAAGCUAAACGAAUUGAUGAAAAUAAGGUUCGCCGAAAGUCGGCAAGUUGGGAAUGUUAUAACAUGUACUUUUGGGAUGAUAUUAUAGUGAUUAACAUUAUAAGGAGGUUAUGUUAUGAGUUAUUUUAGUCGUAUGAUAGUCAUGUGUUAUAUUUUGAAGUCAAGCUAGUUGUGGAACAAAAGUUGGCAAAGGUAAUAACAAGCUACAUUCAUAAAUAUGCUGAACAUUAGGUCAAAUGUAGCUGAGAUUCUCUCCCAAUAUACUUGUAAUUAUGAUGUGAUCUACAUACCAAAUUGAAUAUUUAUGAGUCUAGUUUCUAAUUUAUUAAACCAUUCAUCGAUACAACAUCGGAGUAGAGAGAUAUUUGUAUUUUAGUGAGACUGCGCAAUCAGCUUCCAAGGGGACCCACUUAGGCGGUGGUCGACCUACUUCACUUUAAAAAUGAUUUGGACGACCUUUAUUUCUCAUUGUUUCGACCCAACCUUGUCCCUACACUCCUCCUAACCCUCCUUAACAGAUACCAUAAGGGUUUGAAGAGAUUCCAAAGUGAUUACACCAUAUUUCAACAUCAAAAGUUAGUUCUAGUGAAGAACAACACAUCUUUGAGGUGGUGUUGUCAUUGAGAAUAAUUGUGGCCUGUGUUUGGCUGAAAUUUCAAGUUUUGACUACUGUCUAAGGUGAGUAUAACAGCCUACUAACUGUGCUUAAUCUUGCUUGUAUGUUGGUUAUGUUGUUAGGAUGAUAAACUACAAGAUAAUACUUAGAUUAGCUUGAGAUGUUGUUCUUGAUGGAUUGAUAUGAAAGUUUCUCUUAUGAUCUUUAAGUUGCUGGAAAUUAAGGAAAAUAAGUUGGCUAUGAUACUAUUAAUAUGAUUAUGUUGGUUUACAUGUCAAUCUUGUUGAGGAAAUUGGUAAUUAGAAAAGGAAAUGGCUAUAAAGCACUUGGAAGUUGUCGACAGUGAUAAUAUCUUGUGUUGGGCUAUUUCGGGUAACUUUAAAAUAGAGUACAAGGUUGGAAAGCCUUUUAAAAGUAUUUGUUAUUAUACUGGAUAUAUUACUAAGUUCAAUAAUGAAUGAUAAUUGGGUUGAAGGGUACUAAAGGGAUUCAAUCUGAGCUUGCCGCUCGUCGUGAUAUGUUGAUGACUUGUUAAUGAAAUAUUUUGUACCAUAUUGUUGAUGUUGUUCUUAUUGAAUUGAUAUGGUUGUUGUUAUUGGUAUAUGGUAUUGGAGGAGGCCUUAGUUACAGGGUAUAUGCUGCCCAAAUUUACAUAAAUGAGCUACUAGUUUAAGUUGCAGACUUAGCCUUUACUCGGCACUGAUUUUGAAUCUCCUUAUGCUAUGGUUGAGUUGUUUGAAGAAUCGCUUGAAAGGUAUUAAGGACUCAACAGAGUUACGGUAUGUUAAGGCUAAAACUUUCCUUCAUUAAUGCAUGAUCUCAUAACUAUAUGUGUUUGACAACGAGACAUAAAGAGCAGUUAGUACUCCUUAAUUUAUGCACAUUAUCCUAGUCUCAUAAAUUAUCGUAUUUUCUCCAUUAUCUANNNNNNNNNNNNNNNNNNNNNNNNNNNNNNNNNNNNNNNNNNNNNNNNNNNNNNNNNNNNNNNNNNNNNNNNNNNNNNNNNNNNNNNNNNNNNNNNNNNNNNNNNNNNNNNNNNNNNNNNNNNNNNNNNNNNNNNNNNNNNNNNNNNNNNNNNNNNNNNNNNNNNNNNNNNNNNNNNNNNNNNNNNNNNNNNNNNNNNNNNNNNNNNNNNNNNNNNNNNNNNNNNNNNNNNNNNNNNNNNNNNNNNNNNNNNNNNNNNNNNNNNNNNNNNNNNNNNNNNNNNNNNNNNNNNNNNNNNNNNNNNNNNNNNNNNNNNNNNNNNNNNNNNNNNNNNNNNNNNNNNNNNNNNNNNNNNNNNNNNNNNNNNNNNNNNNNNNNNNNNNNNNNNNNNNNNNNNNNNNNNNNNNNNNNNNNNNNNNNNNNNNNNNNNNNNNNNNNNNNNNNNNNNNNNNNNNNNNNNNNNNNNNNNNNNNNNNNNNNNNNNNNNNNNNNNNNNNNNNNNNNNNNNNNNNNNNNNNNNNNNNNNNNNNNNNNNNNNNNNNNNNNNNNNNNNNNNNNNNNNNNNNNNNNNNNNNNNNNNNNNNNNNNNNNNNNNNNNNAUUUUGUAUAUCAGUAUUGUGGCCUUGUUAGCACUAUGUAGAUGUUCAGUUUUGUAUUGCUGUUUGUAGACGUUAUUUUCAGAUGAUUCAAAAUAUGGCCUCAUCGGCCUAAGUUGAGGGCUACCCUUCCAAAGUUCAUAGUUAUAGAGCGGUAUGCUCGGGCCGAGUAUGGCAUCAGGUGCCAGCCAUGCCCCCAGGUUUGGGGUGUGACACAUUGUUACAAGUUAUCUCUCUUAUCGUUGAGUUGUACCUAUUUGGAAUCAUUGUUACUUGUUUUCUCUAUUAUCGUUGAGUUGUACCUAUUGGAAUCAUUGUUACAUGUUACCUCUCUUAUCAUCGAGUUGUACUUAUUUGGAAACAUUGUUACAUGAUAUCCCUUCAAUUGGUGAGUUACUCUUAUUGGAUAUCAUUGUUACAUAUUAUCUCUCCCAUGUCCUUCAUUGUGAGCUCGUUCUUUCGUUUCUUUACGUUUUGUAAUUCUUUUGUUGAUUACUUGUCAUUCUCUAGUGUUAUUGUUGUGUUAUUAAUGUACUCAGUGUUGUUGAGCCGAGGGCUAUGUGUGGUUGUGGUAUUGGAAUUGUUUUGAGGAAGUAUUGUAGCAUAUGGGCACAUGUGGUGCGAGUCAUUAUAUUGUGUUAUUAUGUUUUUGGCACAUAUGAUAUUGUUGAGAGGAUUGCCGGGGUGUUCGCAUGUGAGUUGUCUGUGCUAUUGUUAUUGAUAAUGUGACAUGCGGCGUCAUAAGGCGGGCUAUAUAUAUAUGUAUGGUUUUCGCAUGUGGCUAGACAAGGAGGGAAUAUUAUUAUGUGCAUGCGGCGAGAAAAGACGGGUAUUUACUUUAUUGUUGUGCACGUGGCGAGACAGGGGGGGCUAUGUCGGGGAUGAUUUGUGAUGGCCUGGAGGCAUUGUUAUUGAUGAUAUUUGUGUAGUGGUGUGCCUACCUUGUGUGAGUUAUGCACUUUUACUUUUUGUUAUGUUGUUUCCUAUGUGACAUUCAUUGUCUCAACUCAUACUUGUUGACUCAAAUAGUGAUAGAACACUUGCACAAGCAUAAAAGUAAUUAAUCACUCAUAUCGGUUUAAGAAGAUGAAUCCAGAUAUUGAUUGAUCAUUUACAUGUAUUCUCGUUUACUUGCCUUUUGUGUGAGAGUUGUACUAUUGGCAUGUGAGAUGUUCGUGCGGUUAUGAGUUAUGGUUAGUGUUGGCACGUAAGUUGUCCGUGCGGUUAUGAGUCAUUAUUAUUGUUGGCACAUGAGAUGUCCGUGCGGAUAUGAGGGAGUGUUACUCCCUUCGCACGUAAGUUGUCCGUGUAGAUAUGAGGUACUAAUAGUAUUGAUACAUGAGUUGUCCGUGUAGAACGUGAGUUGUUCGUGUAAUUGUGAAUAUUAAUGUGGGCACAAGAUGUCAAGUGAUUCAGGUUCGUGACUUGGGACCCGCGAAUUGUGGUAAUGAGGUGUGGUACAUUGUGAAUAUUAAUGUUUCACCCAACCUUGACUGUAUUCAGCUUACUCCAUGGCGUUAUUACCCAUUUGUUCCUUGUUGCAAAUUAUUGCUUCUAGUUUUCUAUUGCAAGUAUCGUUAUCAUUUUAUCAUGCUUAGCUUUAUAUUGAUAUUGUUCCCUGUUAGUUUCACAUUUAUACUUGCAUAGGCUAUUAUGUCUAGUAGGUGUCUUGACUAUUCCUCGUCACUACUCUACCGAGGUUAGUCUUGAUACUUACUGGGUACCACCGUAGUGUACUCAUGCUACACUUUCUGCACAUUUUUGCGCAGAUCCAGGUACUACGGAGUUAGUUGAUCACUAGUUAGCUGACCGAGUUUUGCCGCAGAGACUUAAAGGUAUACCUGUCGUCGCGUUCGCAUGCCUCAGAUUCACCUUCUGAAGUUAUUUUGUACAGUCUAUUUCUAUUUCGGCUCUGUUGUAAUUAGAGAUUUUCUAGUGAAUUUAGUAGAGCUUAUGACUUGUACUACCGAUUUUGGAAUAUUGUGUCAUGUUGGGAUUCUUGGCUUUAUAUAGAAAUAUAUGGUUACCUAGUAAAUGUUAGGCUUAUCUAGUCUUAUAGACUAGGUACCAUCACGACAUCCUACGAAGGGGAAGUUGACAAAGUUGGUAUCAUAGCUCUAGGUUCAUCGGUGCUACGAGUCAUAAGCAACUUUAGUAGAUUUUUGUGGAUCCGUAUGGAGGCAUCUGUAAUUAUCUUCGAGAGGCUACUAAACUAUUAGGAAACUUCAUUUCUUUCAUUCCAAUCGUGCGAGUUUAUUGAUUUUGGAGUUUGAACCUUUAUCAUUCUAUUCUCUCACAGAUGGGGAGAACAUGAGCUGCAGUUACCGAUGACGCUGCCCCCAAAGCCGGUGUUUCUAGAGGUUGGGGCAGAGGUAGAGGCCGAGAAGCAUCACGUGCUACAGCUAGAGCACCUACCAGAGCAGCAGCUGAGGGGCCACUAGUAGCUCUGAUUAGGCACCGGAGGCGCCUGUUGGCUCAGGCGAUAUUCAUUCUGGUUGCACCAGCUACUUCACAGACCAGGGGAGGAGCUCAGACUCCUGCCGCCUGUACUCCAGAGUAGCGAGUCCACGGUUGUCAGGUUCCAGGUGUUAUGCCAGCACAACCUUUUGUUCUGGUUCAGCAAGCAGUUAGGGUAGCAACAUCUGAGGAUGAGCAGCUUAGGCUUGCGAGGUUCAAGAAGUAUCACCCUCAUACUUUCAGUGGUUUGGCUUCAUAGGAUGCACAUAGUUUUCUAUAGGAGUGCCAUCGUAUUCUCUGCACCAUUGGUAUUGUGGAGAUGAGUGGGGUUGCUUUUACUACAUUCCAGCUGUCAGGAAUAGCGUAUUAGUGGUGGCCAUGUACGAGGAGGAUAGCCUAGCCGAUGCAGCUUCACUUUCAUAGACUCAAUGUUUGGAGGUGUUCUUGAGAGAGUUUGUUCCCCAGACCCUUCAGAAUGCAUGGCACGUGAAGUUUGAGCAUCUGCGCUAGGGUACUAUGUUAGUGUCAGAGUAUGUUGUUAGAUUUAGUGAUUUGUCCAGGCAUGCACCUGCUUUGGUUUCUAUAGUUAAAGAGUGAGUCCAUAGGUUCAUUGAGGGGGUCAAUUAUGGUAUCCGAUUCAGCAUGGCUAAGGGAGUUUGCGAAGGAUGUUCUGUUUUAAUAGGUGGUAGAUAUCGCUCAUAGAUUAGAGGGUAUGCGGGGUCAGGAGAGAGAGGACAGGGAGGCUAAGAGGCCUCGUUGACAGGUAGGAUCUACUGGUUCCUAUUUUGGAGGCGGGGUGCGCCAUAGUAGAGGUUUUGUGGGUCAGCUAGCUUAGUUUGCACUUCAGGCUUCACGUGGUGUUUCAGAUAUCCAUGGAUCCCAGAGUAGCCAUAUCAGACAACUUUCACAGCCACAUCAGCGGAGAGGUUGCUUUGAGUGUGGAGAUACCAACCACAUGGUGAGAGAUUGUCCUAGACUCCGGACAUAUAUGCCACAACGGGGUAUUCAGGCUACUAGUUCUGCUCCAAUUGCUAUUGUACCUGCACCGCCAGCUAGGGGUGGAGGUCAGGUGGGUAGAGGUUGCCCUAGAGGGGGAGGUUGUGCCCAUUGUUAUGGUCUUCCUGGUUGGACAGAGGCUGAUACACCAGAUGAUGUCCUUACAGGUAUGGUUUUAGUUGAGUAUAGAGAUGCAUUUGUGUUACUUCGAUUUUGUGAGAUUUAUCCUACCUUGCUUCAGAUAUGGUUGUGUUUUGUGAUUCUUGUACUAUGUUCAUGUGUUCACGGUAGUUGAGAAUUUUAUUGUGAUAGCCCGUGUCGAUCAUUCUGGUUUGGUUGUUAUUGUAGGUCAUGAGACAUGGGUGGACUUCCUGUUAGUUAAAUAUGGUUGGAUUUGAUAUGAUCUCCGGAUGGUUUGGCCCAACUUGUAGUUUGGGUGCUCUACAGGUAUGGGGAGUUGUUUUGUGUUGUGGUUUUGGUUCUACGGGGUUAUUUAGUAGGAUGGUUUAGUUGCUGAGAUGUUAAACUUACUCAUGAUUCCGAGUGGAGGAUGGGGACUUGGUGUUCUUGGUGGAUAGGUGUGUCUAUGAUGGGCUACGCGCCGUGGAGAGGUCAUAUUAAGGUAAGAUUUAUUCUGGUAGUUGCAUGUAUCUUGCUUCUUCCUUGAGUAUUAGAUCCUUAGUAUGGUAUCAGUGGGGAGUUGUGCCUGUUUGGCUUGUUUGACGGUUCUCUCAUGUGUUCCCCUUUCCAUAUUCAGUCAUAUUCGAGUUGUGCUUAUUGGGUUUAGAUUGCGAUGUAUAUGCCCAGGUGGCGCUUGAAGUGGCUUCUUGAUCGGAUGAGUAGUUAUGAGUUUCACAUGUUUCUUGCAUUAUUUUUAGCGUUGUGAAUGUUUGGAACAACGUUCUAGUCGAUAUGAGUAUGUUUGUCGGCACCGGGCUUGGUAAUGGGCAGAUAUUGUGGUCAAAGUUGUUGCUAUAGAGAUAUGGAUGAUGUGUUAUGUCGUGUGGUUAUACUUUGUGGGUGUAUGCAUGAGUUGUUGUAGCUAGUUGAGGAUUUUACAGUGUGUUUGUGUGAUAAUAAGGGCUUUGGUAGAUGUGGAAGUUUUAUUCUAAGGCUUUUCGGCAUAAGUAGAAGGAAUAAUAUCCGGUUGGGAUGAUGUUGUCGGGCUUAUGUGGGUUGGGGUAACGUAGGACAACCCAUGUGUAUGUGCAUGGUGAGUUUAUACAGUGAUUUGAUGGCUUGGGAAAGACUCUUGGCACGUUCGAGGACGAACGUUUGUUUAAGAAGGGGAGAAUGUAACGACCCGACCGAUCGUUUUGAGCUUUAAGGUUCCGUCCAGGGGUUCGAGGUAUUAAGUAGAUUCUUAUUGUGUAUUAUGUUGCGUGCAUGCUCGGAUUUGAUUUUUGGAUGAUUCAGAAUGAAUUUGGAUGAGUGGUUCUCACUUUAGGAGCUUAUGUUGAAAAUAUUCACCGAGGUUUGACUUUUGUGAAAACGACCCCGAAAUGGUGUUUUGAUAGCUCUGAUAGGUUUCUAUCAUGAAUUUGGACUUGGGAGUAUUCCCGAAAUCGAUUUCGAAGGUCCGUAGGUUGAUUUCUGUUAUAUUGCCGAAAGUUGGCAAUUUAAAGGUUUAGGAUUUUGAUAAGUUUGAUCGUAAGUUGACUUCGUAGCUAUCGUGUUUGGAUUUCUAUUUUGGGACUUGGAAUAAGCCCAUUUUGUCAUUCGGAACUUGUCAGUAAAUUUGGGGUGAUUUCGAGUUGAUUUGGUAGGAAUCGGACGCGCGGUUGUAUUUUUAUAAGUUCCUGAGUUUCAUGUUGAAUUCAUGUGUUUUAUGGUCUGAUUCGUGGAUUUGGACGUUAUUUUGAUAAUUUGAUCGCACGAGCGAGUUCGUAUUAUGUUUUUAGACUUGUGUUGAUGUUUGAUUUGGAGCCCCGAGGGCUCAGGUGAGUUUCGGAUGCAUUUCGGAGAGUUCAUAGGAGGUUCAGAUUUUUGCAGGUGCUCAGAUCUCGUAUUUACGAGAAAUAAGUCGCAUUUGUGACUGCCACAUUUCUGAGCUUCAUUAUUGCAUUUGCGAAGAACACAGUGGCUUGAAGAGUUCGCAUUUGCGAACACCCCAUUGCAUUUGCGAUGCUGGCCUGGGCUGGGCAUUGGUCGCAUUUACGAUCACUAUGAUCGCUUUUGCGAAUUGUCCAUGUUCGCAUUUGCGAUGGAUUCCGCGAAUUUUCGGGGUCCCCGGGUCGCAAUUGCAACACCUGCGACUGGACAAAAAAGCUGAGGGACGGGAUUUUUGGUCUCAUUUUCAUAUUUUGGAACCCUAGACUCGGUAGGACACGAUUUUAAAGAGGGGUUUUCAUCUAGAAACUUUAUGUAAGUGAUUCCAAUCUAUUUCUAAUUAUAUUCCCUCAAUAUAUCUUAGAUUUUAACAUCAAAAUCUAGUGAAUCAAAGUAAAAAUUUGUGAAACUUUGUCAAGGUUUUGAAAUAUAAGAAUUUGAGUUUUGAGAGUCAAUUUGGACUCGGAUUUUUAAACUAACCACAUAUAUGAACUCGUGGGGUCAUGGGUAGUCGGAAUAUACCAUUGAACUCGGGUUUUGACAAGACGGGUGCCGGAUUAACUUUUGUUGACUUUUGAGCAAUUGUGUAAAGAUCGUAGCUUUAAUUAUUGGAAUUUAUUUCUCUUGCAUUAUUUGAUGUUAUUAAGUCAAUUUUGGUUAGAUUUGUGUCGAGUACGAUCCAAAAUCCAACUUGUCGUGAUGGCACCUAACCCAACCCGCUAGGUAAGCCAAGUUAACAAUAAUCCAAUUUCAAAUGAGAUCUACUAAGAUAAAUAAUGAUAUUAUAACUGAACUCUUAUACAAAGAAUCUCCAAAGACUGGUAGUACUAAUCAUGAGCUUCUAAGAUUUAGAGUUUACAAUAUGAAAUAAAUACAUCAUCUAUUUGAAGUGUACAUAAAUAGAUUUUUAUAAAUUUAAAGCUACCAUGAAUAAGAGGUAGCUACAACCGGAACGCAGGUUCAUCUUGACAGCCAGCUUUCGCCAUACACAUCAAAAUCAGCUCCAAAAUCUACACGCAAGGUGCAGAAGUGUAGUAUGAGUACAGCCGACCCUAUGUACUCAAUAAGUAACAUACCUAACCUUAGGUUGAAAGUAGUGACGAGCUUGGACAACGGUUAGAGUCCAACGCCAACAACCAAGAACAACUCGUAACAAUAUAAUGAAAAUAAUAUAAGUAAUACUCAAAGAUAUGAUGCUCAGCUUGUUCAUAGUUACGAAAAAUAGGCAUGCUUUUUAGGUAUAACAGUAAAACCCAAAUCUUUCACCGAAGUCACCAAAAUGUGAGUAUGUCAAAAAAACUAUGAUCUUUCCCAAAACAUUCAACAAUAGAUAAGAUGCUCCAUUAUCAGAUAGCAUGAGGAAAGUACAUCUCUAUGCCUACAUGUCAAUGUGUAUGAGAAGUCGUAAAUGUCACAUUACCGUAUAGCAUGAAGAAACGCAUCCCUAUGCCUACAAGCCAAGUACGCAUGCCAAAUGUAAUACACCAUAGUGAUAAACUCAUGUGCUCAUGCUCUCAGGGUAUUCAACCUCACUCAGCACACUCAAUCACUCGGCACCUCCCGAUCACUCAACACUCACAAUCACUCAGCACUCGCACUCGGCACUCGGCACUCGGUACAUGCGCUCACUGCUGGUAUGUCAGACUCCAGAGGGGCGGAUCCUCCCCAAGCGCAAAUAUAAACUAAUAUAGCAUGCUGCAGCGUACAGCCCGAUCCCAUAUAUAUUACUCACAAUCAAGCCCUUAGCCUCACUCAGUCAUCAAUCUCUCCAGUCUCUCAGGCUCACAAAUCUCAUGCCAAUUAGCCCAAACAAUGAUACAUGAUGUAAUAAUAAUUGAUAGCAGAAACUGAGAUAUGAUAUACAAAUGAUGAAAGUGACUGAGUACAUAAUUGCAAUUUAAGUAAAUAACUCAACAGCAGAAAUGACCUCAGUGGGUCCCAACAGGAUAAGCAUAUAGCCUAAACAUGGUUUCUAACAUGGAUCAUGGUUCAAUUUCUCUAGCACGUAGAAAUUUCAUGGAUAGAAAUAAGAUUAGGUAACUACACAGUACCACAGAAAUAACCGAGUCAUAAUUCAUACGGUGCACGACCACACGCUCAUCAUCUAGCAUGUGUGUAACCUCAACACCAAACACAUAACACAUAUAUUUAUGGGUUCAUACCCUUAGCACCAAGUUUAGAAGUGUUACUUACCUCGAACAAGCCAAAUCCAAUACCGCGCAAGCCAAAGAAUACUCUAGAAAUGCCAUCCCGUGUGUACCAACCUCUGAACGGCUCAAAACUAGCCAAAAACAACUCAGGAACAUCAAAUAAUGCCAAAGGAAACAAACUCAAUCGAUAAAGGUGGAAUCUUUAAUCAAAAGGUCAAACCUAGGCCUGCACCUCAAAAUCCGUCAAAACUCACAACAUCCGACAACCCAUUCAAUGAUGAGUCCAACCAUACUAGUUUCACACAAAUCCGACUCUGAAUCGAUGUUCAAAACUCAAAAACUCACUUUAUGAAAUUUUAGACAAAAACUACCAAAUUUCACUUUGAAAUCAUCAAUCAAAUAUCAAAAACAAAGAUGGAUUCAUGAAAUAUAACCAAAACUAAGUAUAGAAUACUUACCCCAAUCCAUGUGAUUAAAAUUGCCUCCAAAAUCGCCGAAAUCCGAACUCCCCAACUCAAAAUAUGACCAAAUAAACAAACUCUUGAUAUUAUAUGCUUCUGUCCAGCAGUUUUGCCUCAUUUCUUGUGCCAAAACGAUCCCAGAAUUUGCUUUUGAUGCCUCCAAUGAAUUCCUCAUGAAAUUUUAGUCACGCUGGGCUUUUGAAUCACUCCAUUUGACCUUAUAAUGAAGGAGAUAUGUUGGUUUCAAUAUUUGUAAAUAAUAUAAAUUUUUAAAUACGAAUUCAGUAGCAAUUCCGUAAUUAAUCUGAGAAAUCUGGCAACCCAAUUCUUAGUAAAAUGACCAUAAAUUCCUCAUACGAUGUCAAAACUUGAUAAUUUCAGUUGCUAUGGUUCCAAAAUUACGAUACGGAUCUAAUGCUUCAAUCAAAUAGAAAUUGGAGCUCAUUUGCUUAAUGGGGUACCAUUGAUGCUUGAAGAAACGACGUUGAAACAUCAAAAACGAGCGCAACACAAUCCAAACAUAUAUGAAACUCACCUGAUCCCCUCGGGACCCCGUCCGAACAUACCGACAAGUCCCAUAACAUAACACGGACUUAAUCGAGACUUCAAAUCACACAUAACAAUAUCAAAAGCACGAAUCGCACUUCAAAUCCAACUUAAUGAACUUUUGAACUUUCAACUUCUAAAACUCAUGUCGAACCAUAUCAAAUCAACUCGGAAUGACCUCAAAUUUUGCACACAAGUUCCAAAUGACAUAACAAAGCUAUUCCAAUUCCUAAAACAACAAUCCAAACUCGAUAUCAUCAAAGUCAACUUCCGGUCAAACUUAUGAACAUUCCAAACCUUCAAAUUGCCAACUUUCACCAAUUAGUGUCGAAACCUUCUUGAAAUAUCCAAAUGCAAAUUCGGGAACACGCCCAAGUCCAAAAUACCAUCCGGACCUAACGAAACUAUAAAAACUCCGAUCCGAGGUCAAAUACGCAAAAGCCAAACUUGGUUAACUCUUCAACUUAAAGCUUCAAACAUGAAAUUCAUUCUUCCAAACUAAUUCUGAAACACCUGAAAACCAAAACCGACGAUUCACACAAGUCUUAAUACAUCAUAUGAAGCUACUCAAGACUUUAAACGGCUGAACGGAAUGCAAAUUCUUAAACGACAGGUCUGGUCAUUAUAUUCUCCCCCUACUUAAACAUACAUCCGUCCUCGAACGUGCCCAGAGUCGUUUCCAAGCCGUCAAAUCGUUGUGUAACUUUACCAUGCACAUACCCGGGGGUGAUCCCACAUCACCCCAAAUCCACAUAAGUCCGACAACACAACAUAACUGAAGAUCAUUACUUCAACCUUAGUCCGUAGUCCCUAGAACCCAGUUUCUAACAUCCAAAAUUCCUUACAAGACCUGAAUCACGCAUCUACACAUUGUAUAAAUCUGAACAAGUUGUAUCAAGACAUAACCAUAACCCAAGAUGUAAUCACAUGAUAUACCACACAACUCACACACUAGUAGCAAUAAUUCCCCAUCACAAUAGCUGCUCAAAACAAACCUGAUACCUGUAGUAAACCCUCAAAUCAAAUAAAACCCCAUUUAAAACCUUCAUACACUACCGAUGAUGAAAGAAGCACACAGAACUCAUAAUCAUCCAUCAGAUCAACAAGUCAUGGAGCUCUCUCUCUCGUCCGAUAAGAACUAAAGCCAAAUCCUAAGCUGACUUUUUAUAUUAUUCUUCCAAACAAACCGUAAUCCAAUCCUAUAGUAUCCAUUCUAGGUCCAAUGACCUUAUCUCAUCAAGCACNNNNNNNNNNNNNNNNNNNNNNNNNNNNNNNNNNNNNNNNNNNNNNNNNNNNNNNNNNNNNNNNNNNNNNNNNNNNNNNNNNNNNNNNNNNNNNGCCACAAUCGUGCAAUCUGUGCACCAAUAAGCAACAAUUCAAAUGUACUCAAACAUGAAAAAUGACUCAAAUGGGAGAACCGUCCUGCAAGCCCAACAAGUGCCACCACUAACGCAAUGCUACGAACCCAUCACACAUAAUAGAACUGAAACACACGAAUCUAACUUAAAAGAUCAUAUCUCAACAUAACUCCGCUGCAACGCGCGACCCCAUCCAAACACCGGUCCUAUGAAAUACCUCAAGCCACAAUGCUCAAAUCAACAACCACAUGCAAUUCUACAUCAAGUACAUGAAGUGCAUGACCAUAACCAUGGAGAAGCGAAUAACACAAUAAGCCACAACUCGAAAAUACCAUAACCAAGGCGUUAUCAACCAUUCCGCACCCCAAUCACAAUCUCGCAUGAAUUUUGCUACAAGGCCCAAACAGAACCGCACCAUGUAUGCAUAUAACCAAUGAAUCACAACCCCUCGUAGCAUAGAAUAGUAACACAUAGAACAUUUCAGAACACGAACAAGCUCAACUCUAAUCGUAUGAUACACCUUUUAGCAAUAACGAUGAUGAGUCAACAAAUCUGACCCGGUGUAGAAUACACAUCCUCAUUGGGCCUACCAAUGGGCCCCCAAAUCAACUCCGGCUAUCCCCAAAUGGGUAAAUAGCCCUCAAAAAUCCACAGUGAUCUAACCAUAACACAUACUACCAUCUGAGAACUCCCAGUCUCCAAAUCCAUAGAACAUAUGAAUCACCAUAGUUGAUCCCAACUGCACUACUUGAAUGACUAACACCUCUCCCAUACACAAUCAUCCCACAAAAAAUACUAAUAUAAUUCUUCUGUGCCACAUUGCAAAAUCUGAACAUCAGCUGUCGAUCGACCAAACAAGCACCGCAAUACCAAUGAAGCAUUCGUAAGUCAAAAUACAGUGUGCCUUUUGAAGUGCGCAUCCUUCUCAGGCAAUACCAAGUAGUAAUAGCAUUCAUCUAGUCAUCUAAAACCAUCCAUGUUGUCUAAGAAUUCAUCACCUUCGCUUCAAAAUUGAACCGUGACCUUGCACAUGCAAAUCUCAAUCCCAUACAACAUACCACAUUUACCAUGACAUUAUUUGAAAAGCACGAGAAUAUCAUAAUCAACUCUGAGUCAUCAGCUGAAUACAUACCUGAACAGUCAGAAACCUUCCAUUUGAUCCCAUCUAGGAGAAAAUCAUAAUACACAACAUGCUCCUCACACUGGUAGGAAAUAUCCAUCUCAAACCAUGGUAGAAACCAUCGAGAACUAUUAGAAAUCGACUUUCACAUAACCAAGCCAUCAGAACUGAAUCUCUCUAACUCAACCAAGCCACGCAAGUUGCCAAACCCAAGAGUAUUGCCACAAAACACCUGUAGAGACUCACCACAUUAUAAGUACCCAAAGAAUCGAUCAUAUCCAUUACUAUGCUGAUCCAACCUACUAUCAAGGUGUCUUAUUUCUCUGAGUUCCUUCAGAAUUACCCUCAAAUUGACACUUAUCCUUGCCAGAACACCACAAUCCUUACCCAAAGCUCACCACAAGAGAUCCUAGCAUAAAACUACACCGCCAUAAGGCCCAUAAGCCGUUGUAUUCCUUCUUAAGCACCCCAAAAGUAACACAACCGAGACACCCACUCAGAAGAGACCUUAUGUGAAUAUAAAAUUAUUUCCUUUACCAUCCUAAUACUGAAAUGUAGAAUCCAUAAUGAUAUAGAAAACCACAAAUCUCGACACCAUCCAAUGCAAAUCCCAGAUUCUAGCCAUAUACAAAUCUGAAAAAUCCUCCAAUGCCGCAUAUGAAUCUUAAAUUCCUUAGAUCUUUCUCGAGAGUCAUCCACCCUAUUCAAAUCUCAAUUGCACCGACCAAACAGGCCGAACGACUUGUGCCCCAUUAGCAUGACAACACCCCAAGAAGCAAUCCACCCUUCUAAGCAAUCGAGUGAAUCCUUUUCUUGGUAAAUUACAUCCAUCACUAACAACAACCCUAGACCAUUUCCAUGACUCCCACAUAUCCAUAAGGGGUAAUACAUCAUGCAUCCAGAAAUUCCUUGCUCAAGUCAUCCUCAAAACCAACCUCUGCGAGUCAUAACCGACCCGUAAGUAUGCCUCAAACCUAAACCAAUACAACACAUAAUUAUGCAAUCAAAUCGUCGAUGGCAAACUCCCCCACUUGGCUCAAAGCCAUAGAACAAAAUACUUGACAACUCACAAUACCCAUACUCUAUCAAUGCCAUAAUCAUGUAGUUAGAUUUAACUAAAUCCUUCACAAGCUCCUGCAAUACAACCCAUAAAAUACCUGAAAUCAUCCGCUAAGCCUGCAUCCAUCCUCAUGAUAGUUAGGUCAACUUUCUAAACCGAUCCAAACUCAAAUCGCAACAUAUAUAACCCACUGGUAGAAAAGAAACCCUCCACACAACAUCAUAAGGAUCACACAUCCAUAGAUUACCCCGCAUGUGAUAGCCCACCUACUCAACCUUAAACUGACAUCUCUCUAUACCCUUUCACAGUUACGCAGUCACUUAAUCUUCCAGAGUCUAAACUCAUCAACAAGACAUGAGAAUCUACUUCGUUCCACAAAUGAACAAUCAUGAAAGAAUCCAUCGAAACACUCAUAACUCAAGACUGUAUAACACAUCCACAGAAAUCGAGCACCCAAUAGUCCUUUUCAAACCUAAAGAAAACUCUUCUCAUCACAUUCAGACCAUCUAAACACAUCCCGCAGUCGCAUCAUACUCAUCAUGUAAUCAUCCAACCACUCACUGAGCCACCAGUCCCACUCAUAGUGACAUCACUGGACAUAGAAGUCCAAAAGCACAUGCUCACACAACUAAAACUACCAAGCCUAAGUUGCAGUCCAAACUGGGCCUCAAGUCCUCCAGACUAGCCCAUCACCAAAACAUAGAAAACGCAUCUUGCACCUCAUCCAUGGAAUCCGCAAGCCAUCGGUGUACAGCCGAUACCGUGUGCUCACAUGCGCAUACGAGUGAGUGGAAGGAAUUCAAAGAGUUACACUUCAAGCUGAAUCAAUAUCGCACGAUAAGAAAAGAAAGAUGUGAUGCUUAUCCUAAAUGCCCUAUAGACUCUUGAAGAUAGGUAUGGAAGUUAUCAUACCAAUCCGCAAGACUCUACUAUACACUUGCUCAUGACUCGUAGAACCUAUGAACCUAGAGCUCUGAUACAAACUUUUCAUGACCCAAAAUCCAACUAGUCGUAAUGGCAUCUAACCCAACUCGCUAGGUAAGCCAAGUUGACAAUAAUCCAAUUUCAAAUAAGAUCUACUUAGAGAAAUAAUGAUAUUAUAACUGAACUCUUAUUCAAGGAAUCCCCAAGGACUAGUAGUACAAAUCAUGCGCUUCUAAGAUUUAGAGUUUACAAAGCUAGUAUGAAAUAAAUACAUCAUCUAUUUGAUAUAUACAUAAACGGAUUUUUAUAAAUCUAAAGCUACCAUGAAUAAGAGGCAACUACAACCGGAACGCAAGUUCAUCUUCACAGCCAGCAUCCGCCAUACACAGCAAAAUCGACUCCAAAUUCUGCACACAAGGUGCAAAGUAUAGUAUGAGUAUAACCGACCCCAUGUACUCAAUAAGUAACAAACCUAACUUUAGGUUGAAAGUAGUGAUGACCUUGGACAACGGUCAUAGUCUAGCACCAACAACCAAGAACAACUCGUAACAAUAUAAUGAAAACAAUACAAGUAAUACUCAAAGAUAUGAUGCUCAGCUCGUUCAUAGUUACGGAAAAUAGGCAUGUUUUUCAGGUAUAACAGUAAAAGCCAAAUCUUUCACCGAAGUCACCAAAAUGUAAGUAUGUCAGAAAAAAUGUGAUCUUUCCCAAAAACAUUCAAAAAUAGAUAAGAUGCUCCAUUAUCAGAUAGCAUGAGGAAAGUAAAUCUCUAUGCCUACAUGUCAAUGUGUAUGAGAAGUUAUAAAUGUCACAAUACUGUAUAGCAUGAGGAAAUGCAUCUCUAUGCCUACAUGCCAAGUAUGCAUGUCAAAUGUAAUGCACCACAGUGAUAAACGCAUGUGCUCAUGCUCUCGGGGUAUUCAACCUCACUCAGCACACUCAAUCACUCCACACCUCCCAAUCUUUCAACACUCUCAAACACUCAGCACCUCCCAAUCACUCAACACUCUCAAUCACUCGGCGCUCGCACUCGGCACUCGACAUUCGGUACAUGCGCUCACUGCUGGUAUGUCAGACUCUGGAGGGGCGGAUCCUACCCAAGCGCUAAUAUAAGCCAACAUGGCAUGCUGUGGUGUGCAGCCCGAUCCCAUAAAUAUUACUCACAUUCAAGCCCUCGGCCUCAUUUAGUCAUAAAUCUCUCCAGUCUCUCGGGCUCACAAAUCUCAUGCCAAUCAGACCAAACAAUGAUACAUGAUGUAAGAAUAAAUGAUAACAGAAACUGAGAUACGAUCUGUAAAUGAUGAAGGUGACUGAGUACAUAAUUGCAAUUUAAGCAAAUAACUCAAUAGCAUAAAUGACCUCAGUGGGUCCCAACAAGAUAAGCAUAUAGCCUAAAGAUGGUUUCUAACAUGGAUCACAGUUCAAUUACUCUAGCACAUAGAAAUUUCAAGGAUAGAAACAAGAUUAGGUAACUACACUGUACCACAGAAACAACCGAAUCAUAAUUCACACGGUGCACGCCCACAAGCCCGUCACCUAGCAUGUGCGUUACCUUAACACCAAACACAUAGCACGUAUAUUCAGGGGUUCAUACCCUCAACACCAAGUUUAGAAGUGUUACGUACCUUGAACAAGUUGAAUCCAAUAUCGAGCAAGCCAAACAAUACUUUAGAAAUGCCAUUUCGCACGUACUGACCUCCGAACGGCUCAAAACUAGUCAAAAGAAACUCAAGAACAUCAAAUAAUGCCAACGGAAACAAACCCAAUCGAUAAUGGUGGAAUCUUUAAUCAAAAGCCCAAAGUCAACCAAAAAGUCAAACCUGGUCUCCACCUCGGAAUCCGACGAAACUCACAAAAUCCGACAACCCAUUCAAUUAUGAGUUCAACUAUACUAGUUUCACUCAAAUCCUACUCUGAAUCGAUGUUCAAAGCUCAAAAAUUCAGUUUAUGAAAUUUUAGACAAAACCCCCCAAAUUCCACUUUGAAAUCAUCAAUCAAGUGCCAAAAAUAAAGAUGGAUUCAUAAAAUAUAACCAUAACUGAGAAUAAAACACUUACCUCAAUCCAUGUGGCGAAAAUCGCCUCCAAAAUCGCCCAAAUCCAAAAUCCUCAACUCAAAAUAUGACUAAAUGAACAAACUCUCAAUAUUAUAUGCUUCUACCCAAUUGUUCUGUCUUGUUUCUUAUGCCAAACGAUUCUGAAAUUCACUUUUGAUACCUCCAAUCGAUUCCUCGUAAAAUUUCAGUCAAGUUAGGCUUUUGAAUCACUCCAUUUGACCUUAUAAUGAAGGAGAUAUAUUAGUUUCAAUAUUUGAAAAUAGUGCAGAUUUUUAAAUACGAAUUCAAUGGUAAUUUCGUAAUUAAUCGGAAAUAUCUAGCAACCCAAUUCUUAGUAAAAUGACCAUAAAUUCCUCAUACAAUGUCGAAACUUAAUGAUUUCAGUUGAUAUAAUUCCAAAAUUACGAUACGGAUCUAAUGCUUCAAUCAAAACAGAUAUUAGAGUUCAUUUGCUUAAUGUGGUACCAUUUAUACUUGAAGAAACGACGUAAAAACAUCAAAAAUGAGUGCAACACAACCUAAACCUAUCCGAAACUCACCCGAGCCCCUCGGGACCCCGUUCGAAUAUACCAACAAGUUCUAUAACAUAACACAGACUUACUUGAGGCCUCAAAUUAUGCAUAACAACAUCAAAACCACGAAUUGCACUUCCAAUCGAACUUAAUGAACUUUUGAACUUUCACCUUCCAAAACUCAUGCCGAACCAUAUCAAAUCAACUCGGAAUGACCUCAAAUUUUCCACACAAGUCCCAAAUGAUAUAAUAAAGCUAUUCCAAUUCUAGAACCACAAUCCAAACUCAAUAUCAUCAAAGUGAACUUCUGGUCAAAUUUAUGAACAUUCCAAACCUUCAAAUUGCCAACUUUAACCAAUUAGUGUCGAAACCUUUUAGAAAUAUCCAAAUGCAAAUCCGGGUACACGCCCAAUUACAAAAUCACCAUCCGAACCUAACAGAACCAUCAAAACUCCGAUCCGAGGUCAAAUACUCAAAACUCAAACAUGGUCAACUCUUCCAACUUAGAACUUCAAACAUGAAAUUCAUUCUUCCAAACUAAUUCUGAAACACCUGAAAACAAAAACCGACGAUUCAAACAAGUCUUAAUACAUCAUAUAAAGCUACUCAAGCCUUCAAAUAGCUGAAUGGAAUGCAAAUGCUCAAAACGACUGGGCGGGUCGUUACAUGAGAGGAGGUGAAUUGUAAAGGAAACAUUAUUUUUGAGGAUUUAUUGAGGGCUUUUGAGGUAAGUAUCUAGCCUAACGUUGUAUAGGGAAACUACCCCGUAGGAAUUGGUUUGUUUGGACUAUUUGAACUACAUAAAAGACGUGUACACGAGGUGACGAGUGUGUGCACGGCUUAUUUAUGGGAAUUUGACCGGCUUAGACUAUUAGGUUCUUAUGUACAUUAGAAUGAAGUUGUAAUACCAUGUUAAACCCUCCAUUGCUAAAUUUAACUUUACGUGUUUUAUUUGAAGUUGAUUGAUUCAUGUUCUACCUUUGUUUCCAAAUAUACUCUUAUAUGUCUUAAUUAAAGUUGUUGCCUCUUCUAUUGCAUGUUAUCUCUUCCGCAAUUGCUUAACCUUAAUUGAAGUUAUUGGUAUCCCUUUCAUUGUUGACUUAUCCAUUUUUGAAAUCAUUGUUACAAGUUAUAUCUCUUAUCGUUGAGUUGUACUUAUUUGGAAUCAUUGUUACCUGUUAUCUCCCUUAUCGUUGAGUUGUACCUAUUGGAAUCAUUGUUACAUGUUACCUCUCUUAUCAUCAAGUUGUACUUAUUUGGAAAUAUUAUUACAUGAUAUCCCUUCAAUUGUUGAGUUACUCUUAUUGGAUAUCGUUGUUACAUAUUAUCUCUCCCAUUAUUGAGUUAUUCUUGUUUGAAACUAUUAUUACUUUAUAUGUUCUUUAUUGUGAGCUCGUUCUUCCGUUUCUUUGUGUUUUGUAAUUAUUGUGUUGAUUUACUUGUCGUUCUCUUGUGUUAUUAUUGUGUUAUUGUUGUACGUAGUGUUGUUGAGCCGAGGGCUAUGUGUGGUUUUGGUAUUGGAAUUUUUUUGAGGAAGUGUUGUGGCAUAUGGUCACAUGUGGUGCAAGCCAUUAUAUUGGGUUGUUAUGCUUGUGGCACACAUAAAAUUAUUGAAAGGAUUGUCGAGGUUUUUGCAUGUGAGUUGUCCAUGCUAUUGNNNNNNNNNNNNNNNNNNNNNNNNNGGGGGGGUUGCACAUGUGGAGAGAUAAGGCGGGAAUAUUAUUAUGUGCAUGCGGCGAGACAAGACGGGUAUUUACUUUAUUGUUGUGCAUGUGGCGAGACAAGGGGGGCUAUGUCGGGGAUGAUUUGUGAUGGCCUGGAGGCAUUGUUAUAGAUGAUAUUUGGGUAGUGGUGUGCCUACCUUGUGUGAGUUAUGCAUUUUUACUUUUUGUUGUGUUGUUUCCUAUGUGCCAUUCAUUGACUCUACUCAUACUCUUUGACUCAAGUUGUGAUAGAACACUUGCACAAGUAUACAAGUAAUUAAUCACACAUAUCGGUUUAAGAAGAUGAAUCCUAAUGUUCAUUGAUCAUUAUCAUGUAUUCUCGUUUACUUGCCUUCUUUGUGAGAAUUCUACUAUUGGAACAUGAGUUGUCCGUGCGAUUAUGAGUUAUGGUUAGUGUUGGCACGUGAGUUGUCCAUGUGGUUAUGAGUCAUUGUUAUUGUUGGCACGUGAAUUGUCCGUGUGGAUAUGAGGUAUUGUCACUUCCUUAGCACGUGAGUUGUCCGUGCAUAUAUAAGGUACUAAUGGUAUUGACACGUGAGUUAUCCGUGUAGCAGGUGAGUUGUUCGUGUAAUUAUGAAUAUUAAUGUGGGCACAAGAUGCCAAGUUAUUAGUGUUCGUGACUUGGGACCCGCAAAUUGUGGUGAUGAGGUGUGGUACCUAAGAAAAGUUCUUGUAUAAAUCUUGUGUGAAAGUAGUUGUUUAUUUGGUUGCUAAAGCAGUUGUUUAUUUGGUUGCUACCUGUUUUUUUUCCUUACUUGGUUUCACCGGACCUUGACUAUAUUUAACUUACUUUAUGACAUUAUUACCCGUUUGUUCCUUGUUGCUAAUUAUUGCUUCUAGUUUUCUAUUGCAAGUAGCGUUGUAGUUUUAUCAUGCUCAGUUUUAUAUUGAUAUUGUUCCCUGAUAGUUUCACAUUUAUACUUGCACAUUUUAUUAUGUCUAGUAGGUGUCUUCACUGUUUCUCGUCACUACUCCACCGAGGUUAUUCUUGAUACUUACUGGGUACCACUGUGGUGUACUCAUGCUACACUUUCUGCACAUUUUUGUGCAGAUCCAGGUACUUUGGAAUUGGCUGAUCACUAGUUAGCUGACCGAGUUUUGCCGCAGAGACUUCAAGGUAUACAUGUCGUCGCGUUCGCAGGCCUUAGAGUCACCUUCUGAAGUUAUUUUGUAUAGUCUAUUUCUAUUCCGGCACAGUUGUACUUAGAGAUUUUCUUGUGAACUUCGUAGAGCUUAUGACUUAUACUACCGAUUUCGGGAUAUUUGUAUCAUGUUGGGAUUGUUGGAUUUAUAUAGAAAUAUAUGGUUCAUGUUUAAUAGUUGUUUUGGUUUAAUUCUGUCAUUUAAUUCAGUAAAUAUUAGGCUUACCUAAUCUUAGAGACUAGGUGCCAUCACGACAUCCUACGGAGGGAAAAAUGGGAUCGUGACAAUCACAUAGCAUAAAAACAUUAAAUUCACUUCAGAAAAACUUGAAUACAACAAACAUACAAUUCAGAAACAACUUGAAUUCAACAAACAUACAAUUAAUAUGCACUUAUUAAUCAACAUAUUAACUAUGAAUAAAAUGUACCUGCUACAUCCAUUGUGCUAACUGUUAGCAUGGUUCCUCUAUAUGCCGAUUUUAACUAACUGCCAUCUGUUGACACUCAAUUUUGACCCUCCGUAUUUUAAAAUUAAUUUCUGUAGGCUUCCUAGUUAAAAAAUGAUAAAAUAUAGUUUUUUGCACAUCAUUUAAUUUUAAUGCAAUUUAUUGAUAAUUAUCCCCAUUUUCACAAAAUAUAGAAAUUUUUAUCAUUUUUAUUGCAAUUAGUUAAAUACUACAUAUUUUGUGCUUUCUUUAAAAAAUCAAAACAAUUUAUUGAUUAUUGCCCUAUUUUCAAAUAUUAGGACAUUCUAUCAAUUUAUUGUUAUUAAAAUAAAUAAUAAUUACUACAAUAUUAUCGUAGUAGUUGGCCUUUUUAAUAAAUACUGCUAGUCAUAUUUUUAUUAAAUAAUUAUAUUUUACAGCACAGCCUAGUAAUUACAUGGAAGCCAGUAGAGUUUUCUUUAAAAAAAUCAUAUCAAGUCCGGUCAAACUUAAUGUCCUGCCAACGUCCGAUGUGAUGACGCAUUUGAUGUGACAUUUGACGUGACCAAAUAUGCGAUGUGACAAGUCAUAUUGAUGUGACAGGUCAUGUUGAUGUGACAUAACAUCCUUUACAUAUGAACCACAUAUUUGUUUUAACAUUUAUUCUUUAUUUCACAAAAAAUAAGCACCACAUAUUCUAAUUUAUGUAUUUUUCCUUUUAUUUUUUGUCUUCAAAAACCUUGUGAAAUAAAAGGGUGGAAACCCUAAUCCCCCCUCAUUCUCUAGCAUUUUUCAGUCGCAGCCCCUCCUCCUUGAAAUAUUUCUCUCUCAUUUUGAGAGAAUCUCGGCAGUUUUAGCCGGAAUCCAACGAGUCCGGCCAGCCACCAUGGCAUGUUUCCUCCAGUCCCCUGUCUCCAUCAUCUCUUUCUCGAACGCCGACGACCCCAUUAAAACUAGUUUUUUUCAACUUGAAACUCUUAUACGCCCUCAGAUCUGACCGGAUAUUUGUUCUCCGAUGAACUCUGUCGUCUCCGGUUAUACGGGUUAUCUUGCUUUUGCCGGAGCUGCUCCGUUAAACAUCGUGGAAGUAGUGUCGCCGGCAAGCAAUGUUUGAGACCUCUCUUGUCUCCCUCUAUGGUGGAUUCCUAUCUUGGAAUGUGUUGUUGUUAUUAUGUCCUCACUUCAGUUUUGUCCAUGGACAGAUCUAGACGGAAUUAAGUUUUCCAGCGAACCUCAUAUAUUCCGGCGACCUUGUGCUACUGUUCUGGCAUCCUCUCAUGGAUAACUGAGAUUUUCUAUCUUCUUUUUUGCUAUAUUUCACUGUUGUAUGUUUAUAUGAUUAUGCAUGUUGGUGUUUGUUCUUGUUAAGAUUUUCUGGUGGCUUGUGUGCUUUUUCAGGCGACUGACCAUUCUAGUUUGCUUAAUCGUUGAUUGUUAUUGUCUUUGCUAUUGCCUCGUUACAUUCAGGAGCUGCUCAAGUUCUUGGAGCCUUGAUACCUAUUCAAAUUCUUAAGGCCAAACAUGGAUUGAAAUUUUCGUCUUUUGCUUAUUCUAGGUGUGCUGCUUCACACGACUGCAUCACUAACAUUUGUUGUGAUUCCAGGAAUUGUCGAUUCUUUUUCAAGCCUUGUUGCUAUGUCUUGGAACGCUACUGUUGUGGAAAUUUUAGCCCCGAAAUUGUUUGGUUUUGAUGCUAUCAUGCAUGACAAAUUAGACCAAUCACUGAUAUUGACAAAUAUUACAAAGGCUGAUGAGAAUAAUCUUUUGAGGCUACGACGCCACGAAUAGACCUCGGACUGGGCCUGAAAUAACGAGGCGAUGACGAUAAACAUCGAAUAGGGAAAGGAAGAGAAUGUGAAGAACCAAUAGCCCAUCGGAAGGCGACAUGAUUAACUACCGUAGUCGCAACCAAGGCGGUUCACGUUCUGUAAUGACCUGAUCGGUUGUUUUGUGUAAUUGCACCCCGUUUUCCCUUUUUAUGCUUCACACAUGUGUGUUUAUAGUUUUAUGACUUGCGGGGUUGGUUAGUUUCAUUCCCAUAAGCUUUCGGGUUGAUUUAGACCCUUUGAUUUUUGACAUAGAAGCCUAAGUUAUAAAUGUUGACCGAACUUUAACUUUUAUAAAAAUGACCCCGGAACCAUAUUUUGAUGAAUCUGAUAGCUUUGUAUCGUGAUUUCGGACUUGGGCGUAUUCCCGAAAUUUAUUUUGGAAGUUCGUAGGUUGAUUUGUGUUGUUUUGCCGAAAUUUGGCAAUUUGAAGUUGAAAAGUUUGAACGUAGGUUGACUUUUAGCUAUCGGGCUCGGAAUUUGAUUUUUGAACUUGGAAUAGGUCCGUUAUGCUAUUUAAAACUUUUUUGCAAAAUUUUGUAUCAUUUGGAGUUGAUUUGAUAGGAUUCAGAUGUUUAGUUAUAAUUCUAGAAAUUCUUGAAUUUUACUUUGAAAUUCAUGCGUUUUAGUAUUUGAUUCGUAGAUUUAGAUGUUAUUUUUGUGUUUUGAUCGCACGAGUGAGUUCAAAUGAUGUUUCUAGACUUGUGUGGAUGUUUGGUUUCGAACCUCGAGGGCUCAGAUGAGUUUCAAACAUAUUUCAGAAUGGUUUUCAACUGAAAUAAACUAUCAGUGCUGCUGGUGCUCAGGUAUCGCAAUUGCGAGCACCAGCAUCGCAAUUGCGAAGGUGACAGUAGGGGCUCAGAUAUCUUAAUUGCGACUACCCCAUCACAUUUGCGAAGUUUGCUGGCUUUUGACUUAGUUCGCAUUUGCGAACAUUUGUUCUCUUUUGCGAGGUUCACAGCUUUGCAAUUGCGAUAUUGAAGGAGGUUGUUGGGGUUCGCAAAUGUGAGCCCUGGUCCUCAAUUGCGAGGGUUCAAAAAUGCAAAACCCGUGUCGCAAAUGCGACAACUGCGGGGAUUUGGAGAGGGGAUUUUUGAACCCUAGACUCGGUAUGAGGCGAUUUGGAGAGGGGAUUUUUACCUACAAACUUUGGGUAAGUGAUUCUAAUCUAUUUCUAAUCAUAUUCCAUUAGUAUAUCUUAGAUUUUAACAUCAAAAUCAUGUGAAUCAAAAUGAAAAUUUGUGAAACUUUAUCAAGUUUUUGAAAAAUAAGAAUUUGAGUUUUGAGAGUCGAUUUGGACUCAGAUUUUGAAACUAAUUACAUAUAUGAACUCGUGGGGUCAUGGUUAGUCGAAAUCUGCCAUUGGACCCGGGUUUUGACCGGGCCAGUCCCAAGUUGACUUUUGUUGACUUUUUGGGAAAAGUGUAAAGUUCUUAGCUUUAUCUAUUGUAAUUUAUUUCCCUUGCAUUGUUUGAUGAUAUUAAGUAGAUUUUGGUUAGAUUUAAACCGUGUAGAGGCAAAAUUUUGGGGAAAAGCUAUUUUCGAGAGUUGAAUUGGCCUAGUUGAGGUAAGUAUCUUGCCUAACUUUGUGUGGGGGGACUACCCCUUAGGAUUUGGGAUUGAUUGUGUCGUUGGUGCUAUGUGAAAGCCGUGUACGCUAGGUGACGAGUGGGUACACGGGUUGUACGUGGUAUUUGACCGGUUUGGGCUACUUAGACUCUUUCCAUUCUUUAAUUGAAUUGUCGUAUCAUAUUCUAAAUUCUCAUAGUCAAUCUAUUCUUACUUGUGUUAGUCUAUACUUCCAUGCCUUGAAUGAUUUCGUUAACACUUGUUCUACAUCCUAAUUGAUAAAUUGCUCUCAUGUUUUAGCUAAACUUGUUGCCUCUAUUAUUGUUACAUGUUAUCUCUUUCAUUAUUGAUUAUCAUUAUUUGAAGUUAUUGUUCAUGUUAACUCUUUCAUUAUUGAUUAUCAUUACAUGAAGUUAUUGUUCACGUUAUCUCUUUCAUUGUUGAUUUUCAUUAUUUGAAGUCAUUGUUACACGUUAUCUCUUCCAUUGUGAGUUAUUCAUAUUUAAUAUCGUGGUUACACAUUAUUUCUCUCGUUGUUAAGUUAUUGGUGUUGAGGUUGUGAAAGCCGUUAUCACAUUGAGGCGAAAUUGUUAUUGUUGAGACAUCUUCCUUGUUGAGCAUUUUACAUUUAUUGUUGUCGUUAAUAUUCUUGUAUACAUUGUGGCGGAGCAAUGGGCUAUUGUUGUGGAAAUACUGAUAUUGUUGAUUGUUGGCAAGUUGUGAUAUAUGGGCACUUGUGGUGCGAGUUGUUAUUGUGAUGUGAUAUUGAUGCGCAUGCGGAGGUAUAAGGCUAGGAGUUAAUGUGCAUGCGGCAGAAUAAGGUGGGACUUAUGUGCGUGUUGCUUGUAGGGUGAACUACGUGAAGCCACGUGGUGUCAUAAUGUAAGAUAAAAUGCGUGUAGCUAUUUUGGGCAAAAAUAUUUUCAAAACUAUUUAAAUAUAAGGCUCACGCGGCAGUAUAAGGAAAGAUUGUGAUUGAGAUUGUGAAUUGUGAAUACGAGGCAGUACCUCGUUGUGAUGCUUGUUCUUAUCUCGUGUUGUAAAGAUUUAUUUGGUGGGAACACUUCCUGUUAUUUUGUUCUUCAUUGUUCUAUCAGUUAUUGUCCGUAUAUGAACACUGUGGUUCUUCUCAAUUGCUUUCAUUAUGUUAUCUCGUUAGUCCCUGUUAUUAAUUUGCUUCAUAUUUCUCAUUGCUCCGCUUUCCGUUUUUUUCUUGAUAUUACGUUUUCUUUCCGCUUGUUAUAUCCUACUAGGUGUCUUGACCUGGCCUCGUUACUGCUCUACCGAGGUUAGGCUUGAUACUUACUAGGUACCAUUGUGGUGUACUCAUACUACGCUUCUGCACAUCUUUUUGGGCAGAUCCAGGUACGUCUGCUCGUGCCGGACGUUAGUGAUCGACUGCUAGCUACUUAUGAAGACUUCAAGAUAUGCUUGCUCGGCGUCCGCAUGCCUCAGAGUCACCUUCCUUUACUUUUACUACUGUUGUAUUUUUCAACCAGACAGUAUUGUAGUCAGAGAGUUGUAAUAUCAUCUUGUAGAGCUUAUGACUCUGCUCUACCAGGUUUUGGCGAGAAUAUUGGUUAUUGUCUUGUUGAGUUUAUUAUUAUAGUUUGAA
This 46685-nucleotide long non-coding RNA is filed under the name Nicotiana tabacum (common tobacco). RNAcentral's name for it is "long non-coding RNA (NTAB_LNC000384)". Lineage: Eukaryota; Viridiplantae; Streptophyta; Magnoliopsida; Solanales; Solanaceae. The record is from RNAcentral.